Long non-coding RNA from Gallus gallus (chicken), 78008 nucleotides. NCBI's taxonomy places the organism in Eukaryota, Metazoa, Chordata, Aves, Galliformes, Phasianidae. The record is from Ensembl.
GCUGACAAUGUCAGAGUUGGGAGUUUAACAGCAGUUGGUCGUUUGGCCAAGAAACGUGGGAAGUAAGGUUCGUACCGUGACAGUGUCAAGUACGGCAGGAGAAUAUCAAACUGCCUGCUGCCGUGUAGAAAAAGGGCGCUGCCAGCAGAUGGCAGCAGAAUGGAAAAAUAAGCACAUAGGGAUGAGAUAGCGGACAAAAGAACUGAGAUUUCUAGCAGCUUAGUUUCACUAGCUGUUUUUGACUAUGCAAGUAUUGCCAGGCACGCCAGUUCAAAGUUACUUCUUAAACAAGGAUUUUUUAAGUAGACAAAUAUUAACCAUGGCCCACCAGAGAUGAGAAAGCUUCUCCAUCUAGGGACAAUGAGGCCUGGUCAGGAAAGUAGAUGACCUGGUUCUGAUCCUGCCAAUGUCUGCUGUGUGCCUGGCUUAGAACGCAUUUCAUGGUCAGUGGAAAAAAAUGAGGAAGAGGAGGGUGUGGCUGCUGCUUAGAGAAGCUGGCUGUGCAUGCAGGGACUGGCUUUAGGGUUGUGAUCCUUCAACCCCACAGAAGGAAGACUUCUCCUAGUGAAAUCAGAAGAAAAGUAGUGCUGGAGCAGAGCACUUGAACUUGGAGAACUGGAGUUGUCAGUCACUGCUGAAGGUACAGGAAUAGUGGAUGUGUCUCAGCCUGGAUGUAUCCCAGAUUUGUGAAAUGCACAGCAGUAGAAUUUGAGUUUUCAAGUGAAAUAACUCUUCCUUGUCUGAACCGUCCUUCAAAAUGCGGGAUUAGAAGUUUCCUACCACAUCAUCUUCAGGACUCCCAGAAAAUUCUUCUGCAGCUUGUGGUAAGAUGGAAAAAUAAGAAAACAAGACAACUUAGUUAUAAAGUAGAAGUUUAUAGGAAAUGUGAAGGUAUAGUUCUAGGUCAGGGAAGAAGAUAGUGUUUGUGAAUUGGCCUCUAUGCUGAAAUGUUUUUCAGAGCAAUUCCAUGUAAGAAAUUUUGUAUGCCAUAUCUCUUCUCGUAAUCAAAACUGGAACAACAGUAAGCCCGCAUUCACUACCCGGAGUACGUAUUGCAAUAAAUAUUGUUUGCUAUUCAAAAAUGGAAAUACACUAAAAAGUAUAUUUCCAAACAAAGAAGUAUAUAACUUUCAGUGUGAGUUAGGACAGCAUGAAUCACUAAAUAAUACAGUAAAUUUUGACUUGCUUCAUUCCCAAGAAAUAGCUGAUUUUUUUGUAUUUCCAGCUUAUUUCUCCAUUGCUGUAUCAUAUAGAGAUGUCACCAGAAUACUUUGUCUGUGACUGUAGUAUUUCACAUACAGUGUAUUUUCCAAAGGAUAGCAGUACUUUCUUAUAGUUUUUUUUAUCCCGCUUCUCUUUAAUGUCGUACAUAUAACUAAAAUUCAUGGAAUGACUUAGGUUGGAGGGGACCUUAAAGAUCAUCUAGUUCCAUAUUGCCUGCUGUGGGCAGGGUUGGCAGCCGUUAGGUCAGGCUGCCCAGAGCUGCAUCCAGCCUGUCUUUGAAUGUAUCCAGAGAUGGGGUAUCCACAGCUUCUCUUGGCAGCCUGUGCUAGCACCAAAGUAAUAUUCUGCCAAAGACCUGGUUCUCUAAAUGUCUACUGUUCUUAAUAUUGCAGGCAUUUACAUUCACAGCAGUGUAAAAUGCUUCCUAUAAUAAAUAAUGGAAUGCUCAGUUUAUAACCCUAGGAAUUUGGCCAGGGCAUACAAACAACUUAUUUUUCAUUUGUUUGCAGUCAGACAAGUUUAUAAUUAAGACAACAGUGGGCAUAAACAUUCUCGCAGCCUUUGCAUCUCUUCUUUCUUGCUGACAUCAAAGGGCAUAUUUGUGGUAGAAAACACUGCAGUUGGUAAUAAGUAUUUGUGGGACAGUCAGUAGUGCCUGGAUCCCUUUUUUAAAAAAUAAAGCUCUGGUUUUCCCCUAUCCCCCUAUCAUUUGAAUAUCUGCAAUGAAGGCAAAACAUGCUUGGUUUUGUUUGGUGUUUUUUUUUUGUUAUCAUUCCAAACAAUGCAGAUAAAAUGAUAUCUGUACCCUGAUACCACGUGCUGGGCGCACCCCAUAUCACUAGAGAUACUAAGGAAAUUGUGCAAGGACUUACUAAGCAUCACUUCAGUGUCUGAUUUCUAGAAAUGUCUAGUAUAAAUUGCUUUUAUGAUUCCAUUGCACUGACCUGUAGCCUGUAUGGUCCAGCUAUGGAUUAUAUCAAGAAUGAAGCUAGAAGUGAACAGGAAUCCUGAUGUACUUUGUAUAGCAUAGGAGAUAUAUGAUCAGCCACAUAUGUGUGCAUGCAUAUGUGUAUAUAAAUAUAUACCGAUUUGGAUUUACUGUGUCUGAGGACAAAGCCAUAUAUAUGUGACAGACCUUGUAACUUAAUGAGUUGUGCAUGUUUUUGUGUCAGUCCUGACACAGAUGAGAUCCACAGAGAUAGCAGUCCUGGAGGGACCUUGCUGUGUAAGAAGAAUGGUUGCCAGCCAAUGCAGUUUCUCUAAGGGCCAUUUGAGUCUAUGAUUUGAUUCCCAACACUGCGUAGUUUAAAGCACUAUGUAUGUGUUGGCUUCGAAGAUCGUGCAUCUCUGCAAAAACUAGGGACAUCUUUGGAGUGUGGAUCUCUACUGGAAAGGCACUGGGGGAGCAGAUUUCAAGGCUUGAAAAUAUUUGGAUAGAGUAGUAACUUCCACUGUUGGAAUGUUACCAGUUUGAUAGUUUCCAUCUUUGAUUUCUGUCUUGAAUUACAUGCUAGUGAUGUUAAAACAGCUGAGAUUUGUGUCCCCCUAUAUUUCACCCUGAAUUUAAAAUAUAAAUAAUUCACCUUAAUAAUCUGAUUAUUAAGAAACAAGGAGGAAAACCAGACCAGUUAAGAGUUGCCUUGUUGUUAUUAAGAAAAUAGGUAUUUAUGCUAUCUGUUAUGUAUGUAAGUCUAGUAAUAGAUCUAUCUCCUGAGAACUGUGCCUCAGAAUGAACUGCAAGAUCAGAAACUAAAUUGCAGUCUCCAGCAUGGUGUGUUUAUAACAGUGAUCUAAUCCAAGGGCUCUAAUGGCAUGGCGUCUUGUUAAAGUCUUUGCAAGUUAAUGUUCAUUGCCUGUGAAAGAAAUGCUGCUAACACUGAGGCAAAGUAAUGCCCAAUGGUAUUGCCACAAAUAAUUAAAAUAAAUUUACAGACAAACUGUCUGCGAUGGUGAUAACAAAUGCUAACCCAUUGAGCAGCAAAGUAGUACUUUCUGAUUUUCAGUGGUUAUUUUGUAUCACAGCCACCUUGGUGGUAAUCUAGAUUCAUUCUGAAAACUAACUGCUGUACCUUCUGUUGACAGUCUGACAUUCAACACUCUUGUUAUUUUCUCAUUGUUUUGGUUUUCGAUUUUUUUUGGAAUGCAACUCAGAAAUCUUUCUAUACCCAAUGAACUUCCUUCAAGUACACUUACUCUGGAUACUCUGAGGGAGGAGAAAUUGUUCUCCAUGCUUCAGGUUUCCUUGAUAGGUGAGGUUGACUGACAGCAGCACUGCUCAUGCUGCGUUGCUCCACGUAAAAAUAGUGGUGUCAGUUGGUCUGGUCUUGUCUUACCUGUUGCAAAGUGAGGAAUGAGACGUUUUGAGAUGAGAUGCAAAUGCAAAUUCAAAUUAAGUUGACUUUUUAUUAAGUUGACUUAUUUCUCAAUUUCUGGCCAAGAUGUACUUAGAUGUUCAAACCAGCAGAGGGUAAAGGCUGCUGCCUGAAAUCAAUACAGCAGUGGUCUGCAGAAUGUAGCUAUUUUUCCUGUAUGUUAUGCCAAAAGAAAGACCUGUAACAAAAAGUGGCUGAGCUAUAGCUAACUACAAUAAUAAUAUAAUAAUAAUAAUAAAUUUGAAGAUUUGAGAGACAAAAGGAGCUUGCAAGGAGUAGAGUAAGAAGGUAAUGAAAUUCUCUAGAUAACUUGGAGAAAAGUAAAAAGGCUGCAAAGUAAAAGUCCGAUUAAAAUACUUUGAAGUAUUUUGGUAGGUGUCAUAUUCUUGCUCUUAUUUUCUAUAAAUCUUAUAAUUAAUCUUUCUAUAAAUUUUACAGAUGAUCAAACAGGAUACCAUGUAUUUUCAGUGUCUCGGUAACUUCAGUACUUCCAAUAAUUUGUUUCUAUUAGUACUUAAUGAAAGUGAAUUAUUAAACAAUGAUUAGCAUAUAUGAAUUCUCAUCACUGGAAGCUACAUAGCUACCUAAAGAGGAACCUGAGACAGAUAAAAAUCAAAUGUGCAUAGUUGCUAUAUUUAAAACACUAGAUGUAAUUUCUAUGUAGGAAGCGAGGUGCUUUUUCCCUCUUACCUCCUGAAUCUGUUCUAGAUGAUUGACUAGGAACUAUAGCUUUGCCCCCGUUUACAAAUUGGUGAGUAGCACUGACACAUGCUUCAGACAAUCUGGCUCAUAAAAACAGCCCAGAAGAGUCUUCAUUGUUUUUCUUUAGUUUUGACCUUUAAUAAGGUCAAAGGUGAGCUCUCCUCAGGUGGCCUGAGGAGAGGGGACAGUGUGGGUCUGCCUUUAAGAAACCAACUUUAGACCUCUAACUGUUGAAGUCAUUACCAGUCGUGUCUGUUGUUUUGAGGACUUUGUUCUGUACAGCUUGAUGUGACUUACAGAGGAUUGUAGCAGUUCUUGAUAUUGAUAGGAGGCUAAGAGAAGAUGGUAUCUUGAAGGUAUCGGAGCCCUUUUGCAGAACAUAGUAGGUUUUCUUUGAUUAGAUCUAGAAAUGCUUCAUGUGUGUAUUUUUAAUGAAUUCACUUUUAGUGGGUGAGAAUUGCUUCUGUUAUGUCAAGACUCUAGAAUACACAACAUCAACGAAAAGUAGGUUUAAGGGCAUGGUAUUUCUAAUGUAAAUGUGAAACUGCCAUGAUUAUAUGUGCAAAGGCAGCUCUGAGUUCAUAAAUUCAUGCGGCCUCUACUGCUCUGACUUCAAAUGCAGAUUAUAGGAUAAUAGUGCAGAGAAGGCUGUGUCUUUUCCCGUUUCUAGGUAUGGCUUAACAGCUAGAAAUAAAAUUCAUCAGUGCCAUGUAUGGAAGAGCUCCACAAACUACAUGUAAGUCUGCUAUGAUGGUUGACAUAAUCAGAAGGUACAGCUAUAAAACUGGUUUUGUACAGCCUGGGGUCAGGGAAUUUCCUGUCUCUUCUGCCUUUUUUUCUUUUUUUUUUUUUAAUUUCACUUUUCUUGAGGUGAACGUUAUUGGAUGACUAAACUGUGUCCACAAAAUUCACAUUCAGAAAACCACCCCAAAUAAACAAUUUUAUGUAUAAAUAAAAGCAUGAAGGAUUAAGCAGUUCUACGUUUGUUAAAUCUAAUUGCAACAAUAGUGUGAUGUAUUAUUCUGAAGCUCUAGAAUGAGGUACUGGAACUGAGAUAAGCUGCUUUCAGUAUUCACUGGAUUUAAAAUUCUUGCUGUUUGCAUCCUGCCAUUAAAUGGUUGGCAACCCAACGGUUGUGACAAAUGUGUAUGUUGGCAAGGAAUAAAAAGUGGUGGCACCUCUGAAGUUUUACAGGAGGUGUGCUGCCUAGGGAUGGUAGACGGUUGGAGCUGUUACUAAUGCCAUUCUGUUAUCUGUGUUGCAGCUAAUUUCUGAAACAAAGAAAUACGGGUCAUGCAUUCUACCUGGUAGUAAGAACUGCUGCAUUUGCUUUUCUUUGAGUGUUUUCUGACACUGGAGUUUUUGUGUACUCACUUCUUUUGUUGUUUUGAUAAUGAAAUAAGUCUGGCUACGAGCUCUAUCAGCCUUUUAACUGCAGAAGGGACUGCUUGAAAAAGCGUGACCCUUCUAAAAUUUUUUCCCUCAAGAGGAAAUGUCUGAUUUUUUAGUUUGUCUUUGAUCCCAUCUCAUCAGUGUAAUUUUAUUCCUUCAGACAAUUGAGCCUGCAGUUCAUUAUAGCACAAAACCGGAACCCUUCUAUUAUCGUAUUUUUAGCAACAAUUAUUUUGAGCCUUCAAAUUGCAUUUGCAAAGGAAAGGCCUGCAUCAAUCUCACAUCUUAGCCUUUAAAACUGACUGUCACUUACACUUCCAGGAGAGGCAGUGGAGGACUGAAUCCAGAGCUGCAGUUCUGAGAACAGACCAAUUGCAUGUGAGGUGUUUUUUGGCACCCUGGCUCGGUGAAAGUGGCUAAGUGAAAUUAAGCAUGUAGUAACCUCUCAAAACAGUUUCCACUCUUGCAUCUUUGUUUGCAGCAUUUUCAUUUACUCUCUAAGGAACAUCAAACGGUGUUUUUGCUUCUUGGAAAUGUAGCAUUGUUGUAGACCUGAGAAUGCUGCAUUUGUUGUCCUACAUCCCUCCUUGUGGGGGCUAUUAUGCGUGACACAUAUGGAAGUGCUUAGUGUUAGGAGAUACUAAUGGCCACUUUCAGGUGUGAAAUCAGAGUCCAGGAGUGCCAUGAGGCAGUGCCCCACAGGCACACCCUUGGCAUUGGCUCAGGAGAGCUGCUUGGCAGGAGGAGGAAUUGAGGCGUUGGGCACCUGUGGGGCACCUCAGCACGGCAGGAGGGACAGAUUUCAGCAUCUUCCCUGAGCAGAACUUUUGACUAUUUUUCAGAGCUUACAGACUUGAUUAAAACAUCGUCCUUCUGUUUAUGGAGCUGAGAAGCUCUUAGAGGCAUGAAUUAAUGGGGAGAUGGGUUGCCUGCUGCAGAAUUGAGAAGUUGUGCUGCUGCAGAAGAGAAAAUUGUUCUGCUAGGUGAUUUGUUAGGUGCAUGCAAUGCUUCCAGAAAUUGACAAGCAAAGGUGUUUACCUUUAAUUGGGACUGACUGUCACUGUCACUUUUUUUUUUUUAGGAAACUCUCCAUUAGAGAAUAUUGUAGUUUUCUUUAACAUGGUGACUGCAAAUAUAGGAAAAGAGGUAUAAUACUUUACUUAUAUCUCUUUACUUAUAUCACAGGAGAGGUGAGGGAGACUUCAGAAGAUUUGGAGGUAUUUUCCACACUUGUCAGAGCAACCGCCUGUCACUGUCUGUGGCAACCCAACUGCAACUUGGAAAGGGGAGCAUCAUUUGCCAGUUAGAAAACGUAGAUUUUUCUAUUCUCAUUGUGCCUCGUUGAUAUAUCUGCGUACUAUAUGUACUAACAUGUAUUUGAGUUCUUCAGAGAUAGGCUUCAAAAACAUGAAAUCUCUAUGUGUUAUAUACCUAGCAUUCUGUAUGUGGAAAGAUGGUUAACGUCAGACAGACUGAGAGGGACUCACAGAGAGAGAAAAAUCUGAUUAUCAGCACCUAGAGAUGAGCACAUUAAACCCCCCCGCAAGGAACUGGACUGCUGGAAAUACUAGACUUGCCAGCCACGAAGAUUUCAUGUGUCUAUGAAGAAUUAUGGUCGCAUAUGAUCCUGGCAAUGGGAAUAAAAGUGGCAAAAUGAAGAUACAGCUGUUUUACAUUUUCACAGGACGAAAUGAAAGUGAAAUAAAAUUGCCAGGAGCAAAUAUGCAAACAGCUGAGACAGCUGAGAAAAAUAUUUGAGGAAAAUAUACAGCCAAAGUAGCAGAGGGAUACUUUUCUCUAAAUCCCAGAAGCAAAAAGCAGAGAAGAGGAUAGAUACUUGCAUCAUGGAGCUGAGAAUUCUGGCAUGCCCAUGUAGCUUUAGAGACAAAAGAUUUCCUAAUUAGAGACAGGAUCGUUUGUGGGACAUGUGAUUCCAGUUUAUAGGAGGAAUUGCUGAGAAAAAGACAUCUAACUCUAGAGGAAUGAAGCAAAGAACAUGAAGAGCAGCUUGAAAUGUCCAGGGAAGGGAGUGAAAUAAUGAUAGCCACUUAUGCAAUACACAGGCUGUGGUCUGAGUCCACAGGAAUCCAGGAAACCUGACAGAGACGACAGGGCAAGGGAUGCUGCUGUGAUAGUACACUGGUACUGAGAAUGUAUUGGAAGGAGCAUGCAAAUCAUCACUACUCAAGGUUCAGUGCUGCGUGCAGCCUUUCUUCUGAAAAAGCAGGUAUACGUACAGCUACAGAGAGAUUGCCAAGGAUACAGGAAAAAAUGUGCAGCAAGACUUGAGUAAGUUCAACAUCUCGUAGCAUGUGCCCACUGCAGAAAGGGCAGGCCGACAGGUAUUUUUUUCAGCUACUGGUUGCAACAACUGCAUUUGCUCUAUCAGCAGCAUCUCAGUGGGUGGUGGGAGCAUGGAGACAGCAGCACUGCCACUGCAGUGUGGUGAGGCUGCAGUGAAAUGAGGGCAGUGAGCGAUGGGGUUGGAAAGAAUAUGUUCAAGAGUGUAACUCAAUAGGGAACAGCAGGACUGCAGUAUGAGGACAGUUGUUACCUGGUGGGCUUCCAGCCCUGGUCAGAUAUGAGGAUGUCAGAGCAAAGCCAGCAGGCAUUUCAGUGGGUCUUUGGCAUGGUGCGAGCUAGUUCUGUUUUAGCAUAACAGGAUGCAGGUGGCGGUCUUAGAGCUUGGAGGGUAUGAAACCAAACUGGAGUAGGUAGGCUGGUGGCAAAGGCCAGUCUGUAGGUGUCUUUGGGAUGGUAGCCCCUGGCCUGGCUGAUCACCAAGUGCUUGCCUGAAGGGCAGAGCAGCAGCUGUCAGGAGAGAAGUUGUGAUGACCUGCCUGCAAGCUCCCAGAGGAGGACAAGUAGGAAGAUGAUGCUUGGAAGAGGCUGAGGAAGUUAAUCUGUUUGAGCAUGACCUGAAUGUUACCCCUAUUUGUUGUAUUUCUGAGCACUUUUCUCUAAAGAAAGGCCAAUUAUAUCUUUGAAGAAUAGAGGCCUCUCAUGUUGUUACUCAUCAUGUGGUACACGAAACGCUAACAGCAACCAGAAAUUGUGAAUUAACCUUGUCCUUUCAUCGCAUAUGGUCAUCUCAUCCCUUGACUGGUGAGUGCUCAAAGCUGCCUGAAAAUAGUUGGGCCCCAGACAACUAAACUUUCAUACCUCAUUACAAAAGGAGCACGGAAGAUGAGAAGGAAAAAUGAUUGUCUCAAGGGACGCAGCACAGUGGUUUGGGUAGUUCUGCUUAGAAAGUCACUUGUGGCUUUUAUAACAAGGAACUUAAGGUUUGAAUUUUCAGAUUUAGUAGCUGUACAUUUGUUUGGUUUUUUAUUAACUUAAUAUACUGUGUGCCACACUUUCUUUGGGUUAUUAUUGAGUCAAGCAAUGGGUUUGAGUUUAGCUCUAAAUGCAUGUGCUUUCUUUUCCUUAAAACUUUGAGCAGAUUUGGGUCUCAAAUUUCCUGAAUUAUUUGAUGUUGUGCCUGUAAAUUUUUGGUACAGUAGCUGACGUUUGCAGUUGAGUUACCAUUUUGGUUUUGUGUGCUUUUGGCUGAUAUGGAAGAGUAAUGUAGCUUUUGCUUGUUCUCCCUCUUGAACAUUGAGAACUGGAAUUGUCUUCUUGGGUGAGCAGACUCAAUUAAACUACCUCAGUCUACAAAAGGAUCACUGGAAGUUACUAAUCCUCUAGCUCUCAGCUCCAGUAGGAUAGAAAAACAAGUUUUAAAGAGUCUGAGAAAGGUAUAGCUAAAAGCCUUUACUGUUAACUGGGAUUUAAAUAUAAUUACAUCAGUUAAAGGUUCAGAGGGUGUUUUCUUUAACCUAGGAAUAUGUAGAAAGACUAAGUAAACCGUAACAGAACAAAUACAUGUUUGUGAGGUAUUCUGCUAGGAUUCAUUAUAUAGGUGCAGUAUGUUUGGUUUAUUCAAAAGGAAAAUUGUGUGUAAAACUGAAAAGUUAAUGGAGAGAUACUCAGCUGUCUUAAAGAUCUGAAUGAAAUAAUGAAGAUACUUGGAAGAAAAAACAAAUGAACAAACCACUAGCUAUGUUCUAGAUAAAAUUUCCACCAUCAAACUCCCUUUAAUUUCAGUUAAAUCAUUUGAAUUCAUUCAUCAGUCUUUAUGCUUAUAGAAGCUAUUUGUUACUUUUCAGUUUGGAAAUGAAUCGGUUUGUGGUAAGAGCUGCAAAGCAAAGUUUCAAAGCUCUUUGUUUUUUCCCCACAUACUUAAAAUCCGAUCUGUGUCAGGUCCAUAAUGCUACGUGGUCUCUUUAGAGGUUGUAACAUUUCUCUAAAUGUACGUGACCUGAAAAAAUUCUUCACAGUUAGCAAGAUGUCAACAAAUCAGUCAGAUUUGGUAUUAUGCAGAAUACCACAUGCUGUCCUGUAUACUUGGGUCAGAAUUGAUAUUUUCAGAUCUAACUUUACUGCAUAGAUUAUGAGAAAUGAUGUAAAGUGAAAGAGGAUUGCUCAUAAAAACUCCUUCACUGAAAUACUGAAAGUUACAAAAUAAUCUAAUUAUUACACAAUUUUGUCACUGCCAAAGUUAAAUAUUACUGCAAGUAUUUAUUGCAAGAGCCUGUUAAUACUAAGAUGAAAAUAUGACAGUGACCCAUGUUUGUUCAGAGAAAUCAGCUACUACAAAUGUGUUCCAGAGGAAUAAUAAUUUAUUAUUUGUAUGUAUUCAAGAGAAGUGAUAAUUCUGAAUCUGAGAAUGCGCUUAAUGUUUCUACUGGAAAAUAGAAUAAAAAUGUAUUUAACUGUUCCCCUAAAGUACCAGUGUUUUAUAUCCAGAUCCAGAGGUGACCUGUGGUGAGACGCAAAACUGAACCACUGUGCCUUUUCCCCACAUGGACACUUUCUGCUCUUUAAAUUAUUAAAGUAUUAAAAAAUAUGGAAGUGUCUUUAUUUAGGGUAUUUAAUGGAACCUUCUAAGAAUAUAACUGUGUGUAUACAAGGUAGUUGUGCACUACACCAAACAGAAGAAUGGUGUAGAUGAUGCGGGGGGGGGGGGGCAAUAGUGAAUUUAUUAUCUCUAUUCUGCUUAACUAUUAAGCUUUUAUUUAGAGAAUCUCAGUGUGGAAGAAUGUUUUUGGAAUCUCUGGCAUUUUUUGGCCCUUGUGUGAUUUUGAUUCAUGAGUUGAAAUCUUGUUUCCAUGGAAAUAAACUGAAUUGUUGGUUUCUCCCAGAAAUUGAGGGGACUGGGGGACGUUGUUUAGGCUGCUUCUGUCUGUAAUGUUGACCAUAGUAUUUAACCUCUUACCCAUAUGAGUGGGAGCUGUGUUCUAUGGACUAUCCACGUCUAGAUUUCCAAAUGUAUGUGUAACAAAUUUUGAUUAUUGUUAUGGUAUUACACAGCACCGUGAUCUCUUAGACAAGUAGUGCAACUCUCUUCAGAUGCUUGAACCUGACUUGUCACAGCAUUCUCAGGAAUUUUGUCCAAAAGUAGAACUGUGUGUGGUUAGUUCAUGUCCGGUUGUCAACAUCAAGUGACUUGGUAUGUGACAGCUGUCAACAAUUUCCUCAGUAGGAGCCAGUAGAUCUGCCUCUUCUUUUUGCUGUCAUUACUCGUAAUGGGUGUAGUUAUUCUCUGAUUACUUUCAGAACAGCUGAAAUUAAAACAAACGGUUUGUCUCUUGGUAAAGCUGAAAAAAAAUCAGGUCUAGAUACAUAGCUUGGGGGAAGGAGGUUAAGCUCAACUAAUUUUAAUUAGAAUAGUAAGAAAAAGUGAGGCUCAAGAUGCCAGCUUUAUUGUUCCCUUAGCUCUAACUUGUAACUCAAAGAAAUAGAUAAAGUAGGAAUUGGCUGCUGUGGGAAGGGUAGGAGAAGAAUAUGAUUUUUUUAAUUUCUUAUUUUUUUCACUGGUUUGAAAGUGUUCUGCUCAUCAAGCAGUUGGGUGGGUGUCAGUGAAAACAUACCCUUCCUUGUACUGGAAAUGCCAGUUGCUUUUGCUUCAGGAGUAUUCAGAUUGAGUUUAUUUCUGGCUUUCCUAAUCUUUGAUCCUGCCAUUGAAUCCACAGGGAUGCAAAAACAGUCCACCCAUACAAAUCCGAUUUCCAAAUGCUGGCCUUUAUUUUUUUUAUCGUUUGGUUUGGACAAAUUAACAUUCUCCUUGUAAUAACCUUAGUUUACUACCAGAUAUAGAGAACUAUCUAAAACAUACACAUACAUAUUACGUAUGUACGUCAUAUUUGUUAAGACAUUGCCUUUAAUCAAGUGUUUCAAGGCUUUACUGAUAUUCUCAUUUUUCAGUCUUGUACUGUGCUGCUUUUCACUUGACCACAAUGGCCUGGAUUUGUAGCAAUUAAUUUUCAGGGGAAAAAAAAAAAAAAACAGCUCACAGUGUUUAUAACCUGAAAGCAGUCUUAGAACAAAAAGAGGAACAUGCAGCUUUAUACACGUUGUAGUGAGACCUGGUGGUUUGUUAAACUGGAUAUGGACUGUACUGUUUUUUCUGCCCUACCCCACCACCUUACUGAAUGUUUCCAGCCCCUGUUCAUAAGACUAAACCAUCUAAAGUUUGGUAUUUUUCAUCUGAAUAUAAAUAAAAGGUGAAUCUCAUAUGAAAAUAAAAAUAUUAUCCAGGAAUAGUAAAUUUCACUAAAUGAGAACAAAAUUAGAAUUUUACAGCAAAAUCGGGUGUGUAAGCAGCAUUACUGAGAAUAAAAAUGCCAUCCAAAACCAUUCUAACUAGAGUUAGGCAAGUUCAGUGACUCAUGUGUUUCCCAAAAUCAUUUUUUCCUCCUUUUUUCUGAAAUUGUAAUCAUAAAUAAACAUCAACUAUAUGUGCUGUGACAAUUAUUACAGUUAGAUUUCUAGCACUCAAGUGUUGCUUUAAAUUGGGGUUCUUUCAUUUAGUUUUGUCCCUCAACAGAUUUGGGUCAAAGAAUUGUGCUGUGUUCUAAUAUUCAUAUGGUUGGACUAGAUCAUUUCCAAGGGCCUCAUCCAACCCAACCUCUCAACUCUUCUGUGAUUCUGGGAUAUAUCAGGCUUGGUAAUUCCGGUUAUCUCAGACCUCGUUUGGGAUUCAAUGGAAAUUUGGCAAAAGCUUUUAGAUAAUUCCUGUACCUGCCUGGAAUUGUGAAAAACUGAGUUUUAUUUGGAAUUAUCUGAAUCCAAGCUUUCAAUGAGUUGUGGUCCAAGUACUCUGAAACAUGUUCCUAAAACUUGACAAAGUGCUAGGAUUAGGUAGUUAAUGAAGCCUGAUAACAGCUGGAUGUGUUCUUCUUCAUAAGAUGUCAAACCAUUUUCCUUCCAAGUGGUGAGGCAGAAGAUGCUUCUGUCAUACCUCCCAUGCUUGUCUUCAAAUAGGGAAGCUGAUCUUGUGGUUAAAGAAGUGGGAUUGAGUGGCUCCCGGCUCUUCUAUAGGUUUCCUGUGCGUCUCUCCGUGCCUUGGUUUCACCACCACUCAGUACACUGCUAGCUUCUGAAAGAUCUCAGUCAUGCUUUUUGAGUACACUGACAGUUCUACUCAGAGAACUGUAGAAAUGUAUAAUACCAUUCCUAGACAUCUUCGCAGUCUGCAAUGAACUCAGAACUCAUGUGCAAGGAGGCUGUGUGCAUUUUAUCUAGCUAAUAAUCAUUUUCAUUGAGUUGAUGUAUACUGUAGAACCUGGAGUUUCAGUCAAUCUCACUUUCAGUGUUCAAAAUACUUGCUGGAGUUACAGGUAGUGUUGAUUUUGCACAUUUUAUUAUUGAGGAAAAAUAAAUGUCAGUAGAAGUAUAUGAGAAUGGGAAAAACUUUCAGGUAAAAGUAAUUUUCCAUACUAUUGGCCUAUCUAAGAAUUCUAGAACCUCGAACAGUUCUGCAUAUUUUUCUCACAGCAGGUAAUAUAUUUGCUUUCAAAUGAAGAGUAUUUAUUUUUUAAAAUAAAGUGCUAGCAUUUUACCAGGUUAUUAAAUAUUUUGAAAGCCCUUUUUUGUUCAGUAUAAUUAGUUCAUAUGCCUAAGUCAUCUUUGGGUUUAGUACUUCUUUAAAAAGAAUUCUCAAGCUUUUGCAAUUGCUUGUUCCAAAGCUUUGGUGUUCUUUUGCAGCCUGGGGUGAAACUAAGUGUUCAAAGCCUGAAAGAAGGGUCUUGAAGGGAUCCUCAUUUCUCUCCUGAUGGAAAGUAAAAGUAAGCUAAAUCAGAGGUUCUAUUUAAGGUCCUUAAUGAUGAGAAGACAGUUAUAGACUGAGGAAUAGUUUUAUCCGUUAUAUGUGUGUGUGUGUAUAUAUAAAAAAUUAACUAACAUGUUCUGACCUGGGUUGUUGUGGGUAUUAGGAAACAUUUCUUUAAAGACUGUGAUCUAGGGUUUAGAAAUGACUAGUAAUUCUGAAAACACCAGUGUUGGAGAACUGAACUUAAGACAUAGCCAACAUGCCUUCCUAAGGUUUCAAGCCAUUCAGCCUUUCCUAGAAGUCUCACUGAUAAGUUGGAGUACAAGAGUCCAAACUCAUCACCUAGCUUUUUGCCUACUUUCAUUUCUAUAAGAAAAUGCCAUAAAUACAUACUUGUUCGUUAACAUGAAGAGAUGUCAUGUGUAUUUAUUUCCUACACUAAAAAAAAAAAGUCUGCUUAGAUUUUUAGGUAGGUAAUGUUAUACAAGCUAGAAAUUUGUUUCAUCUUCUGAGCUGCAAGUAGAUUAUGGCUUUUCAGAAUGUACACAUUUUCUUUGUAAAUUAAUCUUCCGCUAUCUUUUGUUAGUAUCUUUCAAGUUCUAUCAGCUUCCAGCUAGAAGGCUAAUCAUAAAGCAUCAGAAUUGCACUGUUUUAAACCAACAAAGGAAAGGUACACAUCUGUAAUAACAGUGUAAUGACACCAAAUAUAUGCAUGUACGGUUUAGGAUUAUUUUCCUAGAUGCUUGUUCAUUGGCACAUAGACAAUUUCUUCAAUUCUUUAUCUUUGUAUUAUGUUUUACAACACCCGUCUGGCAUCAUUAGACAUCCACCCGCAAGCAUUUUAAAGACUUUUCCACACAGCCAUAAAAUUGCACCUUCCUCGUUGAAUAUAAAAUCAACUACACCUGUAAUAACAAAGCAGGGAAUACUAUGCAUCUCUUCCUGGAUGUUAACUGCAUUGCAGCAGAGCUGUGGUGGUUUGCCUUCGCAGCCUCAGUGAAAUUAAAGGUCGUGUCCUGAUGUUAUGUCUUCCUGUUUAAAAUGAAUAGCUUGUAAAUGUUUAUCUCAACUACAAGUGAGAACAUGGCCUACAUUUGUGCUCUCCAAUUCCCAUUUUGAGAAACCAUGCAGAAAAACAGCUGUGUAUCCUUUCAUGUCUUUUCUUUUGCUGUUAAACAUUUGCAUCUUUGACUUCGGUUCUUCGCUGGGUUUCUUCCUACUUGCUUUUGGAUUUUUUACUUGAAGCUUGUGUUAGUGUUCUCUAGAUUUAUAGCGGGUUACGUUGUUUUCUGCACAAAAGAACAAGAGAAAGAAAGAAAUCCAGCACAGAAGUACUGAGAAUUCAUGUACAGCGUCAUACAGUAUAUAGUUUCUUUGUGUUCUGCCAAUAUGUAUUUCAGUUUAAAAUGUCUUGAGGCUGGUUGGGACUACUUCUAUAGAGAGAGAACCAAAGUAUACAGUAUAUUGGCUGCCAUUUUGCUGUUUUUGGACAGUCAGGGCUGCUUUCCAUUUCCUAUAAUGUUCCAAUAGAGCUAAAUCACAUAUACACUGUAAUGGCAGCUUCUGAGACCCAGGGCUUCUGUAAAAUGUAAAAGAGCAAAGUAGUAUUUGUACAGUAUAAUAUUUUGAUUUGCUAAUGAGCUGUGAGGUGGGUGUUAUCAUGAACUACUGUGCAGCAAGAAAGGUUCCUAAAACAUGCAUCAGUUUACUCCAUCUCCAAAUCAUUGCAGAUAAUACAGUGUUUAGUUUCUAAUUAGACUUGUGUUGUGCUAAUUCUCGUGAGUAGUGCAAGUGAUUGACAUUCUAUGUUUUAGUGGCAAGCAUUAGAGCAGCUGACUUCAGCUCUGCGGUGAAGCUAGCAUACAGCUGCAGAGGAAAGCAAGCCACUCGCAGAGGCUGAUUUGCAAAACGAAUGCACAUUGAUUGAUAGGGCCUUGUUAUGAGGGGAAGGAGGAAGUAUAGCACGUAUUCUUGAAUUAGACUAAUGAUAUUCUAGUCCUUAAAGGAUUAAGAGAGAAAUGUUCAACCGAAAAAUAUCCUUUGCAUAACAUUUUACAAAUUAUUUAUUUACUUUGGACGGUCUUUUACACUAUUUCUUAGGACAGGAUGAACGUUCUUAUUCCAUGCCUCAGACUGCUGGAUUUGGAAUACAGAUGUUUUGUCCUUAGUCCUGUUUUCUGUACUUGUGAGUAAUAAAUGUAACCUUCAAGGCAAAACAUUGUGAACUAAUUUCUUGAUGGAACAUGCCAGAGCAACACAAGCAUGUUAUGUGGCUAAGAUUAUUUGAGUGAUUUUUGCUAGCUUGUUAUCUCUGUGGCCAUCUCAAGCAUGGAAAUAAAGAUAGCAAUAUAGAUUUCAUAUAUAAACAGGCUCAUUGAACUAGAUGUGCCUAUUGGAUGAAUUGGGUUAUUGUAAGGUACAUCUUCUAACUUGCAGGUCUCUAGUCAGGUUGUAAUCCUUUGUUAAAGUUCUGAAUGGUAAGUUUGGCUUUUCCAAAUGGUAAUGCUAUUUGCAUUCAGCAGAAAUAAAGACUGCCUGUGGCUUCUGAUUGUUGUUCCUGUAGCAUGUGAGUUUUUCACAGCCUUCCUCAUGUCAAGGACUUAAAGAGCUGUGUGAGACAGGACAGUACCAUUAGUCCACUUUACGGAUUGGAGACCACUGGCUACAUUUUGGUCUGUUCCGUACAUUACGGUUUGCUCAGGAUGGUCAUGCUGUGGCAUGCUGCAAACCCCAUCUGCCCUCUCUGCAUGCAGCAUUGGAGCUCUUCCUGGAGCAAGCUCCUCUGUGAUUUAUUGGCACAAAGUUUUUGGUACGGUGUAACUGGAAGAACAGAUGGGAUGAAUGAUGGCAGACUUGGACAAGUUGCAUUUGGCAGAGAGCAGAUCGCUGGAGUCAGUCACUUUAUGGGUCAGAUUUUCAAUUUAAGUGUUGUUCCAUGUAGAUUUCCUCAUCCAGGAUCAAUGAAAGUGGUACAGUGCAACCGUUGGGUUUUGAAAGCUACUAGGUUUGUGCUAGAGGCUGUGUUUUUACAAGACAUGACACUAAGACAUUCACGUUUGUCUGUGUGCUUUGGCCUGCCAGUAGUAAUUUCUUGUAGGUUGUGUAAAUACAGGUCUCAUUUUGCUUUGUUGGUUGAUGUUGGGGUAAUUUAAGUUAGACUUGAAAGCUUUGACUAAAAUCUCAACUAAUAAAACUUAAUCACAAGGUAAGAAUGAUAAAAUCUGUCAUCAGCUUGAGAAAGGAAGGUGUAGGCUAACCCAAACCUCGCAUUAACAUCUCUUCUAAUGCGGUCUCUUUUGUCUCUAUCAGAAAAUGCGCACACACAUACACACACAAAAAGGCUUAGAACUGUGUGAGAGCAUCAGUAAACUUGAAAGCAAUAUCAUGUGGCAUAACUGUUCACUUGACCCAGCUAUAGUCAAUAUGUUUUAACUCUACAAGAGACCUAUGCUGUAGUUGGUUUGAUAACAGCUAUACGAAGGAUUUUCUGAAACAUUCCUAUUUCUCCAAAUAACUGAAGAGAUGACCUGUAAAACAAGAAUUGCUGUUUGUGGAAAGCUCGCUUAAUUGCUGCAUAGGUUGCAGUUGAGAUUCAGUGCUAAAGCAUUUGCCCUACUUGCUCAGCAAAACAUCCAUGAAAUCUAUCCAGUCUAUUCUAGUAAUUGAGUCUAUUCUAGUAAUGACCAUGCCUUAAAAUAGGACAGUGAAGCACACUUUACCUGUAGAGAUAUAUGAUCCUCAUAAACAGAGCUUACUGUUAUUUUCUGAAGUAGAUUCUGCAUGGGUAUCCAACCUUUUGCCUUGCCUGGGCUGCAGAGUGAAGAGGAAUUUUAUGUAGGUACGUAGGAUUUAUUUAGGUUACUCCAAAAGUAAUGCCUCCUAUUUAUUUCCAUGGAAACAUCAACAGUUACAAAGAGCACAAUAACUGUGAUUGAGCAAGUUCUCAGCUACUACUUCUCAACAUAGUCACCAUGAUUAGCUGUGCAUUUUUGCCAGCAAUGAACAAGAGCUUGAACACUGCACUUGUGAAAUUCUAUACUAGUGGAGGUUACCUACUGUGGUCACUGCUGAAAUGCACUACCUCUCACCUCACUGUGCUGACAUCCACUGUUCAGUCUCCAUAAAUGUUCAGCAAGCAUCAGUGAAUGUCAGUGGGUACCAUUUUCUUCUGUGUGGAGGAAUUCAUUUCCACAUCUUUGUGUCAGAUGCCAUUUUGUCAGAUGGCCCCUCUGCUGCCAUCUGUCACAAGGCAACAAAAUUUAAUGGAACAGUGGCGGGAUGGCUCAACCUCUGCUGCCAUACCACCAAGAUCUGCCUCUGACGUCAUGGGCCAAUAUAAUAAAAGAGAAGGCAAUACUUUCAGAGCAGCCCUCAUUCAAUAUAUAAUAUAGUAAAUGUAUAUAAGAAGUAACAGAACAUUUUAUUUUUUAUUGUUUUUUAUUAAAACAUAUAAAAAAGAGCAAUGAAAACAUAAAACUGGAGGGAUAUUUGACCUUGUCUAUGUGAAACCAAUGCAUCAGUCUCUUUCAAUGGCAGUGGCUGCAAUUCUUAGUUCUCAAGGUGUUCAGUAGAGACUUCUUGUGAGAUUUUACUCUUCCCAUGCUUCAUCCUUCAAAACAGUUGUUCACAAAUGUAUGUACUGUCAAAAAGUGAUGGCACGAAUAAGGCGUGACUUGUGGAGUAAGGGCUAUUUCUGUCUGUUAAGAGAGGUUGUAUAAAAGUCUGGUGAGGAGAUGUGAUCCCGUUUUUAAUUGGAACUCUAUGCAUUUGGACUGAAAAUUCGCAAAUAAUGUAUUUAUGUAGAAUGAAAAUGGAGUCGCAAAUUAAAAAAUGGUUCAUUUUUUUUUCAGCAAUCUUGAAACCUCUUCUCAAUUUUUUUUAUCAAAAUGGAAAGCACGGCUUCAUAUUUUUUUGCUGUUCACAGGACUGUGUUCAGCCAGUGUAUCAAACUGCACCAACUUACUUGCAGUAAUUUGAGCUGGCUCUGCACUGCACCCCAUGCCCUGCUUUCAACCCAGAUAGGGUUCAUAGUUCAGCCUGGUGGGGAAGAGCUGCUGCAGUGAUGGUGCUGGGCAGGGAGCAGGCCGCACUAUGAGCUGUGCUGGACUGCAUGUGGCCCAUGUGCUGUGGGUUCAACAUGCCUGAGAUACUGUAAGGCAAAAUGUAAACGUGAUAUUGACACAUACUUGUACUGUACAGCCAUCUCAAAGUGAGCUCCACUCUGUUGCCUUGCAGAGCGUGGUUUCGAUCAGCUACAGCCUGCUCGUUUAAAUGUCUUCAUAUGCCUUGAUUAUAGCUUACCCUGAAGGAACUGAUGCUUUGAAUAGGUAACAGAUGACAUGGUAGCUGUAUCUCACCAUAAGCAAACUGUGCUGUUACUCAGGUGUGGCCAGUUUAAGUCUCACUAUUUUACUGCUCUGCUUCUUCUGUGGAAGUCUCCCUGCCAUUUUUGUUAAAAGCCAAAGUAACUCAUGAAGGUCUGGAUCAGAACAGAGCACAAUUGUUUGUGAACUAAAUGCACUGAAACUCUUUUGGAAGACAAAGAAGGAUCUUUUGAUAUCAGUGAUAGAAAAUGGACUUCUGUUUGUCAUGACACCAUAUCAUUUGCGUAUUUCAGAGAGAAACUGCUGUGGUGCAUGCCUGCAUUCCUACCUGCUACCAUUCAGCUUAUGUUAAAGCUUAGGGAAGAAAGGACCGUUUCUUUUCCCACUGUGCAAAAUGUUUCCUUCAGUUUGGAAGGCGAUGUGUUAGCUGCAGUUAGAUCUUUAUAAGCACCAAUAAAUCUCUUAAUCUAAACGCUUGCAGGAAUAUACUAACGGCAUGGUCAGAGCAAUUGGAAACAUAGGAACUUCAAGAAGGAGUUCUCUCUUCGAAGUGAGUUUUUCUUUGGGCUACUUCACCACAAGGCAGCUGACCUUCAGCACAACCAGGAGCCAUUCUUCAUGCAUCUGUUGCUUACGUGCCUGAGAAGACAUGUAAAGGAGAACCCAACAGUGAAACUUCAGCAUUGUUGUGGCUUGUAUGAAGGGAGAAGUGUGUCUUAUCUACAUUAGUGCACCUUGCAUAUAUCCAUAUCAGCAGCAUGGCAGGAAAAAUAAAUUCCUCUUGUUCUCUCCACAUGUGAUGAUCCUUAAAAUUCUUCACAAUAAUGAAGCUUCACUGCAAGCUGUAAAGAGCCUUAGGGCCUUGUCAGACAUUCUUGCACUUCUCAGCUUAUUCUGUUGCACCUUGAUAGAGAUAAGACCAAUUAUUAGAUCUUCAGUUUAGACUCCCUGCAGUUACUCAGUGCAGAGAGUUUUCAUUAUCUAUCCUUUACUGCUCUAGCCCUACGGUUUACUUUAUUGAGAUUAUGUACUUGUUGCUAAUGGCCGAAUUUGGCUACCAGGGAAGGAUGUGGUUUUGAACUCUGUGGGAUGUCAUUGAUGUGUAAAUCAUCUCAUCUCUUCCAAAUAGUGUCCUUUCCAGAACUUUUCACUGAGGUGUCUAGCCUUCAGAUUGUAAAAUAAUUAGUGAUUUUGGAUGGUCAGCCUCAGGAGUCCUCAGAGGGCGCCAAAAUCUUCAGGAAUUGUUGUUACAGAAGAUGACAUCUAAAAUUGUAGAGCCCCAAGUUUUGAAAAUUUCAGGCUUGUGUCACUAUUCAUGAGAGAUUAAAACUUACCAAUAUUAAUGAAAGAAUACUUGUAUCAGGAGUCCUUUAUCUGCACAGUAGAUGUGUUUUAGAGCCCUGUCUGAGAAAUGUGCAGAUUCUGAUACUACCAUUAAGACAAAACUAAGCAGAUAGAAGUGAUUCAAACCGAGAUCUAACAUGUCAGUCAUCUGCUACUGGAGCUGAAUUUGAAUGAGACCUGCAUGCUGCUGUGAGACCUUUGAGCACCUCAGACAUUAGUCUGUGAUCUGCUGUAACCAGGUGAGGCAGAGGCCUGCAGCAGCAGUGUGUGGUAGGGAGUUACACAUGUGCUUAUUAGGCCCCUUGCAGUGCCUGGUCGAUGGGACUGCUUGCCUUCAGUGACUGCGAACUUAUGAAGGUAUAAAAAACUAAGUAUUAUACACAGCUACUCGCUGCAAUUUACACUGUGUAUAUAUAUAUAUAUAUAUGUAUAAAUUAUGUAUUUGUAGUACGUGGGAUAUAAGGGAUUUUAAUACUCGGAUCACACGGACUGCUAUUUUUUUUCAGAUGAAUGUGAAUCUAAAAUUGUGUAGGCCACGUCAGCAAUAACCCUGUGUAGUUUAUUUUUAUCCAGAUCUACGUGAAGUUUCAGUAUUUGGGUGCGUACUGAUUGAUCUUCAUUUUAAUAUCAGUGAUCUGUUGCUUUCACAAAAAAAAAAAAAAGAAAAAAAACUUCUCAGUGUCCUGGAGAGAAAAGGGCUCUCUCUGGUAUUUACUCUGAUAAAGAUAUUUCAAAGAAGUGAUUUGUUACACAUGCAUUGACCAAAUUCUCUGCUGGUAUGAACUGGCAGAGCAGUCUACUCAGAGCAAGUUUAUGCUGGUAUAUAUGGCAGAUGCUUUGGCCUUAGCAUGCUGCAAAUGGCUUCUGAUUCUCCCAGUUCCUGAAUGGGGGAAAGUUUUUAUUUGUUUUCAAGAGUAAUUUUGCUCUAGUGUGUAUACUCUGGGUCAGCGGUCUUAAGGCAGUGAGGUGUCUGUAUAUGAUAAGGGAGACAUUACACUUGAGCUAACGUGCUUUUCUGGUUCAACUGAACUAGAGGAGAAAGAUGGAGGGGCAAAGAAUAUCUAUAAAUUGAGCAAUGCAUCAAGCACUGCCAAUAGUCUUGAGUGCAGCUCAGUUCAAAAACUUCAAAACCACCGCUUAAAGGAACAGUGGAAAUAUUUUCCAUCAUUUUCUAUGAAAUGACAUGGCUUGUUUACUGUUUCUUGUUUAUCUGCUCUGCGUGAUAUGUCAUAUUUAUCAGUAAAACAGGCUGUAGGGGGUAACAGUACUUAAAUGUUUAUUUUAUGAUGUUUUGGCUUUUGGUGUGUUUAUUCUGCAUUUUCUGACUAAAUUUAUGCUCACAUAGCUUUUUCUUCUGCUGUUACACUUUAUCUGUCUCAGGCUGCCCGGAAAAGGAUGUUGUAGUAGUCUGGCAAAAUGAACUCAAGAUGCACAAGAAGAACAUACUAGAGACUGAUCUGCAAGGUGUUCAGGUAUUCGUGAUUUCAUUAUGUAUACCAGUAAUUGUUGCAUGAUGUAAGGUACUCUGCAGUUUACAGGCUUGAGGGUAAAUAUUUGUGUUAACUCACAAAAGGUGAUGAUAAAACAACAGAAAAUGAAUGAAAAAGUCACAAGAAACAUUAAAGCUGCAACGAACAGAUGAAGCUGUGAUUGAACAGGUACUGUCUAAGAGUUGCAGCUUGCAGUUCAAUACAUAUUUAGUCUGCUGGAUAUUCUAUCUUAUCCGUUAGCUAAGUCAGAUUUUACCUUAUUACUACCCAGAGUACUCACAGCAAUCUAAAUUGCUGAGGAUAAAGCUGGUUCUCUCCUGAUUUCCACGGGAGAAAAGUGAAAAGGCAACAUCUGAAGAAGGCACUGUGAUCCCUGGAGAACUGAAUUAGAUCUUGGGAUCUGAGCAAGCCAUGGGUGAGGCUACCAUGAGGGUGAAACUCAUUUGAGUGCCGAGAGGUGACAGAAGGCCUUGUGUACUUCAAGGAUUUUGUUAAGAUUUAAAUAGUGUAAACAUCUUGAACACAGUUGAAGAAAGGUUUGGCAUUUGCAGUUCUUCCCCUGUAGAAACUGGACUUCCUAGCUGGAUAGCAAGGAUGGUUUAGAGCAAGGUUGUUGAUUUCUAGGUUUAGGAAAAAUAGAUCUUUCUUUUACUGGUGUAAAGGGAGAAGUAGUACAGGUGCCUGUUUAGUCUAUACUUCACUGAAACAAGGAGAAAGAUCAUGUGAUUGUUUUUCAAAGCUUCUUGUGAGCAGGUGAUGACAGGUCUGCUAUAGAUGUGAAAACUAAUGACUUAACAGCGUGUAACCGCAUACAUUUUUGUAUUACAAUGAUAGUGUAGUGAUAUUGACUGUUUUUAUAUUUUUAUUUAUUUUAACUAAUUAAUGUAGUGAAGCAAAUUGGAUUGCUGACAGGCAUAAAGGUAAGAGUAUUGUUCGCAGAAUGCAUCAAUACAGCGUGCAUCCUAAGAAAAUGUUUUACUAUUAUAAUCAUUACAGUCUUACAUUAUCUCAUUAUAGUAAUUAAAUGAUUAUCACAAACAUUGCAAACUGUUGUUCGUAAUCACAUAUUUUACACUGAAAAAAAAACCACCAGCAGAAGCAGAGGUACCUCCAAAGGGUGUAUAUUGACAGCUGUGUCAGUAUCGUGCAAAAAAUCACCCUUGUUAAAUGUUACGCCAUAUGUGACUGUCUGAAAAGUAAAUACGAGUACAUAACAAUGUCACUCUAAAUAUUUUCUUCAAUUCCUAAACUAUACACUGUACCAGCUUUCAGAUAUUUAUUCAAGUUCACAUUUUAUUGUGUGUGCAUUCCGGUGGUUUUGGCCCUGUGUUGGUAGACAGAAUAUUGAUGUACUCUUCUGAAUUUUGCUAUUCAACUGCCGGUUUGACUUUGUACAGUUUACUUCAUCUGAGUGAGCCUCGGAUGCUUUGCAUGCAUAACUGAAGCACCUGAUCUUGCUACACAUAGUACAGAUGUAAGGUGUGGGAUCAGUGAGUGAUAGUGUAGCAUUCUCAUUUUGUCUUUACUGGCUGUUUGGGUGGUGGUGGUUUUUUGUUGUUGUUUUUUUUUUUCGUAACAUUGGUCUUCCAAUGCAAGCAGUUGCUAGUAGCAUCAUCCUAAAAUAUAAUGACAGCAACAAAAGUUCCUGGUUUUCUUCCAAGUGUUUUUGAACCUUGAGCCAGACCACUGGCCUUCAGAAAUAUCCCCAGUCUGAUUUUGGAACCAGAAGAAAAGAGCAGGAAACUGCUGUCGGAAGCUGGUAAUGUAGAAUUAGAAAAUGUUUCUCUUCAACUUUCAAGAGUGAUAUUAUUUUCCUAUAAGAAAGAUUAAUUGUAUCUAAAUCAUUUUAACUUUUAAAGUGUUUAACUACUCAGUUACACGUUUCAUUGAAAAGAGUUCAUGCUGUAAGACAGGAGAAAUGAGCCUUAUCCAAAUUCUGCUGACAAUAGAUAGGAAGAAUAGUAUCUGAGAAUAUUCUAUAAUCUGAAAUUAAGAGCGAGUUUUGUAGCCAGAGGAGAAAAAUUGGUGGUCAAAUCAAAUAUCCUGUACGUUAGAUGUGAAUUACAGACCUUACUUAGUUCAAAAGCUCAUAAGCAUGGGGAAAAUAAACUUGACUUUGAAUGUCAGGUUGCGAUCAUUUUAGCACAUCUGAUUCCCUCAAAAUAAGAAAAAUCUAAAAGUCAGAUUUUCCUUUUAGAAAUCUCAAACUAUAUAUAAUUUGGAUAACAAUGAGUAACAAGCUGCUUUGGAAAGGAAACUUUUUUCCUUCUUUGAGGAAAAAAUUGCACAUAAUACUUAGCUGCAAAACUUUUUUACUUCUAAAAGUAUCCCAGUAUCUGUUUUUCUAAAUAAAUUGCAGUUAUAAUAAAACUACUCACGACUGUUGUUACAUUUGAGAAAUUUUUAUUCAUUUUAGUUUUCAGAGGAGUAGUUCUAUUUCUGAAGUUUUCUGUGAUUUUGGGACCUGAACAACUUGAAAUCAGUAUAUUAACACAGUAUUUCUAUAAGACGAUGGCAUUCUAAGUGGAACUUUCCAGAGUGGAAAACUUCACUCUUAAAGCCCUAGUAUGUCUCAUUCCAAAAAACUCUGCAUUGAGUGUAGAAAGUAUUAGUAAAAAAAAAAAGAAGUAUUAGUGCAGGACAUGAUGCAAGAUUAUUCCAGUUAAUUGUAUAAGCCAGUUCUUUCAUUCCUAUUUGCUUCAUCUUGUAACUAUGGCAAUGGUUUCAGAAAGUGCUGGAAUAUUGGCUAUUUUUUUAAAAUUGAUUCAGUGUUGAAUGGUGACAGUGAUGUGUGGUUGCUGCUGACGAUGAUGUUUGGAUUUCAAAAUGACAUCUUUGCACCUAUUAUGCAGCCCAAGCUUGAGCAAAGCAAAUGUAGCAGUAGUAGUUAAAUAUCAGCUGUAAAAUCCAAAUAUGGUGAGGGUGCUGGGGAAGAAGAAAAAAAUAAAAAUUAACUUAACUGACUGCUUUCACAUUGCAAGUUCCAGAACUUGUGGUCUAAAAGUUUGGGUUCUUUUGCUUAUGUUCAGAAAGAUAAAUGAUUUUGUUUCCCCUUCUUCUGUGAGGCAGAAGUUGGACCUCAGUAUCAUAUAUUAAACAAUAAAGUGUUACGUGCGGAAGGAAGAGAAUUUAAGAUGUGAAUUAAGUUUGGGUUAUAAUAUAACUGACAACAAAACACCAGAGAAGAGACAUGAGCUGGGAUGAGAUGAAAUGAGACGAGACAUGAAAGAACGGGUAAAUUGAUGACUUAUCAGCCUACAGAUGGGAUGUGAAGAUAUGUGAGUGGAGAAUGAGAUCAUCACCGGGAAGUACAGUAGGGGAAAAGAAGGGGUUUCACAGGAAAGGUCCCAGUAGUCUCUUAUGGAUAGUGGGAGGAUUGAUUUAAUCCACAGGAAAAUGAAUAUGAAAAAUGAUAUAAAGGUGGGCUGGCUUCCAAACCUCAGAGUGGCUUGAUUUUUUUCGCAAUGUACUUCAAAAAAAAAUGAAAUAAAAACACUGAGUAUGACCCUGAACCUCGAGCAGUAUGUGGGAUCUGUGCACCUUGAUGGUAUUCCCACCUAGCUAAAACUACAUAAACAUGCUUUCAAUUUUGGUAAUGAAAGGCAAUUUUCAGCAUUUUGAGGAAACUACUGCGUUGCUUAGAAUAAAGAGAGGAGGCAAAAUUAUCGCCUUCAAUCUAAACAAUGCAGUAGAUUUCUUAAGAUGUUAAAAUUUGCCUUCCAUUCUGAAGACUGAAAGCAUGCUUCCAUGUUUCCAAGUAACUGUGUCCUUUGUGUUAUGCUGAAGCCAAAUAAUUUCUUAUGGAUGAUAAGUGGUGGAAUUGAUUGCCAAGUCCUGUUGAAUGAAAUUUCAGUUGGCACAAUUAUAAUCCAUUUCAAGAUUCAGCAUCUUUAAAUUUCCACCUACAAGAUGAAAAUAAAUACUUGGCUGCUUGCAAAGUAUUAAGUGAUACGUACGGAUAUGUCAAGUUUCUGCAUUCCUUGAAUCGUGUCCACCCCACCUCUUUUCUAAUUUUAUUCUCAUACCUUGUUAGGAAUCUUUAGGAAGAUCUGUUCAGAGAAGUGCACAGAAAUCUGUUAUUCAGCUGAAUUUGCAGAGUCGGCUGGCAGCCUUAUGAGGAAAACUUUUCUGGAAUUUCAUCUUGCAUCUAGUUCUGACAAGAGGAGACUGGAAUUCGAAAGAAACAAAAGAGUGAUCCUCACAGAUUCAAUCAUUUCUGGUCGACGUCUUCACUAAAAAUAUUAUGAGGCGUCUAGAUUGCUGGUCAGCAAAGAGUUCUGAUUUGUUUGAAUGCCACCAACUUUUUGUUUUAAUUUCUGUUUGGAGUAUUACAGUGAACUAUACUUAAAAUUCAUAACAAUGCAUUAUUCUAAAACUGCAUGUGGAGUUAGUUUGGGGUGAAACUGAAAAUAUAAUGGUAGUUUUUUUCUGAAAAUAAGAGAAUUAAAAAAAUGCUGAAAGAUUUUUUGCUCAGAUUUGGCCAACAGACUGAGACAGGAAUGAUCAACUUUAAUCUUUAGUAUUUUACAUUUUGUUGACCUGUUCCUGACUAUUUCUUCACAGCAGGGAGCAAAGAGCUACUCACAUUACAGUAUCUCCUGAGGAAGGGAUGGAAGAUCUGAGCCCACGGGCUGAGUCCCGGGACUCAUCCAGCAGAGAGGUGGGCUGUCCCCCCUUCCAACUGUCACCUGUCCUCAGCUCUAGCCAAAACAGAAUGCCUAAGGAAGUGAGUAAGAACAAGGAAAUUGUGUAUCAUAUUUCUGCUGAAUUAUCCCGCGGUGUUCAGCCAUCCUAGAGAUGUACUCAGCCAGGCAUAGUUUCUUUGUAUUUAGUAACCACGGUGGAUUUCUAUUCUAUAAACUUGUAUGCUCUUCCUCUGAGUCCUGUAAACUCUGGACAUCUACAUUAUUCUGUAGGAGUCCCUCAGCUUAACACACAUGUUAUGAAGAACCACUACCUGUUUGUUUUGGAACUUCCUCCUCCUAGUUAUAGAUGAAAGAAUGCAUUAUAGAAUCUGACAACGGAGCUGGUAAAGGAUUAUUGAGAUUAUAUAUUGAAAUGUGAGUCAUUCUAGGAAGAUGUUAGCUUAGUGGGGUAGGUCAACAUAAUUUAGUAGUCCAGGAUAGGGUAGCCUUGUAAAUGAGAUAACUACUAACCUAAAAGGUCUGCACUCCAAGGGAAUUUAUGUUGUAGGUGCCAUAUCAGUUCUAAGGAUGGGCAUGUUUGAUAACAGCGGAAGUCUCAUGAUAGGUGCUAGUUUAAUGAAGCAUUUAAGCAUAUUUAACUCUACUACCAUGUUUCAGACUAAGUAUGCACUAGGGUAGUUUACUGGGUCUGCAUUUUAUUCUUGAGGUAUUUUGUAUUUAUAAAAUGUAAUUGUGCUGGAACAUGUAUGUGAAAAUCACAUCUACCUACUUGCUUGAUAAACACCAUAUACUUCAGAUUUUACUGUCAUUUGAUAUGUGUUAGAUUUCCUUCAUUCCUUCCUCCUAAACAACUGGAAUCUCACUGAGAUCACUAAGUUCAGUAAUUUUUAGCUCUCCAACAGAUGAGAUCUGACCAGGAGUGAGAAGUGGGAAUUGAAGAGGAAAGGUGCAUCAUGAAUCCUGACAUUAAAAAAUAUAGCAAGGAAAGGAGUCAUCGGUCUGUUACAUAUUGAGACACAAGAUCUCCCUUGAGUGUGUUAAUGAAUGCUCAAAUAGUACUUAAAGAGACAAAGAUCCAAAAGACCGUUAAGUUGUCAAUAUUUCUACCUUCUAAGAGAUUGUUCGUAUGCUUUCUUUCCUGGUAGAGCAGAUUGGUGGAUAAAUCAGGAUGUUGCCAAAAGUCACAAGCCAUGUUUAAGAUUAGUCUGUUCUUAAGCUUUCUGGGGUGAAACUUGUAUAAUAUAAUAAAAGUUCCUUGUAGUCUCUGUCCAUCAACAAGCACUUGAGUGGUGGGAUGAGAAAACAGAGCAGGUUCAUCUGUCCUUUGGAGUGGGCAUAGUGCAGAGCUGAAAAUGAGAAAGUUGUGACUGCCUGAGCUGUUUUUUUUUCUGAAACAGCCGCCCCUUUGUAGCAUCUUCUGUAGCAUCUAAAAAUAAAAAGUGCAUCUCCUUGCUGUGCUUGUAAAAGACGUUAAAAGCCUCAAAUGGAAAGCAUUGUAAAGAGCAAAGUAUUAAAAUUACUAUUUACACAUGCAGUUCUGCAGACUGCUAAGAUUUCUUAUGCAAAACCAAACGACCAGCCAGACAUACUUAAAAAGUAUGACAGUGAGAGACUGUUGAGUUUGGUUGCCUGUGGGAGUUCCUCUUUACUUGAUUUCAUUCUGAGGUUUUUUAAUGCAAACAGACUUUGCAAGUUUUAGUCCACUGAAACUUAAAUGUCGAAUCUUCUUUUUGGCAAAUUAUUAAAGUAAAUAAAAUAUGUGACAUUAUACUUUAUAACAGUAGCACUCUUAAAUGAGACAUAGUAGAGUUCUGGGUUGACACUCAAACUCUGUGUAGUUCAGUAUUUGAUCACAUAUAUCCUGAAUUCCUUUUAUGCAAAAAUAAAGGUUGGGAGAACUUGGGACUUUUUUUAAUAUAUUCUCACAUGACACAGUGGGGCACUGAAAGAUAAGGACCAGAGGGUCAAAAAUGUUUACAUUCUGCUUAGACAGUAGAACAAAAGGCUGAACUUUCAGAAAUACUCUGCUCUAUUGGCUCUGUCUGAACCUAAAAACUGAAGCUAGAAUUGGUUGGUGCUGAGCUCUCUUCAUGAUCUGACAUCAGCAGUGGGUUUCUACGACUGGAAAAUCUACUUGCAGCUAAAUUUCCUUAGGUAGCACAAAAACUGUGUUUCAGUACAGGAAGUGAAUAUGGAUGCUCAGUAUUCAUCCUGUAUUUUAAACAAUACAUGUUUCUGGGUUUUUUUUUUGGUAGUAUUUUUUAAGGAGGCAGGCAGUAAAGGGAAAAGAAACACCUCAGAAGUAAUAAAAUGCCAUCAUAAAGAUGGAAAGGAAAAAAGACAUCAGAGACAAGGUGUAAGAAAAUGCCAUAAAUAGUACAUUGCUGGCACUGAAAGAUGGAAACCAUAAAAAACAAAAACAAAACAAAAACAAACAAAAAAAUGUCAAGAUGUAAAAAGAUACCACAAACGGUGUGAUUAUGGUAUUGGCACGGGCCAGAAAUGGCCAGAUAUGUGUAAUAAGGAAGAUCACUAAUAGCUAUAUUUUUUCAAAUAAGGUAGGAAUUCAGUUUAUUUCUAAGUUGAAUUGGCAGAAUGCUUGUUAUUGUCAAAAUAAAUGCAACCUAAGCAAAAGAUCUCAAAUACAAAGUUGUAAAACCUGUGACUUUAUAGAUCUUCUGGUGAGCAUUUAUGUCUCGUGUACUCAAGGUCUAUACAGAUACAACAGAGGUAUCUUAAUCCAGAAUACUUACGUAAUUCUGACUGUUCGAAUCCUUUCUUGAAGCCGUACGCUGCUUUUCAGGCAGGUUAAAAUGAGGUGUUUUCUUAUGCUUGAGACUGAUAUUCAACUUUUCUUAUAAGGCCUUAUUAAAGGCUUUGUAAAAUUUGAAAAUUGGUAGUGUUAAAAUUAAAACAGCAUCUGGAGAGAGGUGCAUAACAUGCUAUAUAGUUUUUCAGCCUGGUUAUGUGAAGACAGGGUUCACAGCAGUACUUAAAGUCACUCUGGACCUUUCUUUAGCUAAAAAGGGGGAAAGGUGUUCGGUUUUUGGAGAACAGCCUAUGUUUGUAUGUACUCAAAAUAGUGAUUGAUUUGCUAGGUUUAUUGACAGACAUUGCAUGCAUUUCAAGUCACUGAACAAUAAUAUGCAGUAAUUCUGUUUUCUUUGUGGAGAUAAUUAAGCCACACAGCAGCUGCCUAGCAAAUAUCAGCACUCUCCUACUCUUUCCCAGGAGAACAGAGUCAAGGCAGAAGUGAUCUGACCAAGAGGCCACAGUUACUGGAUGGCAUGACUGGGGUGAGAAUCAAAUCUUACCAGCCCUGAUCACAUUUGUUACCACUGGGAAGGGUGCAUUUACAGUGCUUACACUUUCAUUCAGUUUGCUGUGCAUAUGCAAAGGAGAAAGUCGUGUGUCUGGAGAAAAGCAAUAUGGCUGUGCUAAGCACUGUACAAACACAUAAUAAAAGGUAAUCCUCAUGUCAGCACUGCUCAGUCUAACUGUAUAAAAGAGACAGAAAUCCCCUGUAUAUUUGGUUUAAACCGUAGCACAAGGUAAGCUAUAUCCAAAUUAAGAGAGAUUUACUUACGUGUCUGAUGAUUUUUCUUGAAUCAAGACCAUACAUUAGCUAAAGAGGACACCUUUCAGUCACAGGUGUACUCAAGUACCAUUUCUGAAAAUGUGGUGUACAGUCAUUAUUCCACAAACUGACAGAAGUGCUUAGGUUAGAAGUUGAAGCUUACUAAAACCGCGUAUGGUUUGUACAGUAUCAUCCUCCUCUAUAAAUAAAUAGUGUAUAACCUUUGUGCUCUGGAGACCUAGUAAAGACCCUGGCAGGACAUCACACAGCCUCUUAAUAUAACUUCCCAGCUAUUUGUGGAACUCUGCCUUGGUGUCACUGAGAAACAAAGUUGGAGGUGACAGUUCAGAUUUUGCAUCCUCCUUCCGGAGAGCCAUUUCAGUCGUGCAGCCAAUUGUGUCUCUUACUGUGCAUUUAUAGCUUAAGGAAUCACUGGCAAACGAAAAUAGUCCUGGGCACAGCAGAGAUGGACAGAGGUUGAAGGCAAAGGUACAGCUCCAUUUUUACGUUAAGUUACUGAAAUUGAAUGUUUAUUUACUUGGUUUCUGUUUCAGUGAAAAUGGUAGAGGGAAUAACUGUUAGUGUGAUGUAGUUCAGAGAAGAUACGGUUUAGAAUGUUAAACCAUUUAAGUGAACUCCCAAAUAUCAAAGGACCUAUUAUAUUAAAAUAGCAUAUUAAAACAAAAUACAAAUAUUCUCUUCCUUAGUCUCUGUCACUUUGAUGAUUGAAAAUAUUUUUUGCUUAUUUUUCAAUUGCUGAUCCUUUUCUGUGUAGAUAAAUGAGCUUCCAAGUCUAAUGGAUUUUAACUUCUAAACUUCUUUCUCCUCAGAUAAUUAAAAUAAAAACGUGUAAAAUGCAUGUAGCAGAACUGUUUUGAGGUGCUCCGUCUAUCUUACGGUAUUCACGAGCUAGCAUGUUACUAUCAGAAGAAAACAUGCAUCCAACUACAGAAAUGCUUUCUUAUGUCUUUUUGCCUGUCAGGGCUCAGGUAAGCUGUUCAGCCUGAGACUAUGAAGCCACCAAACCUGGCGCAUGCCAGUUGAUCAGCUUCUGUUUAAAGGAGCAGUUUUGAAAAUUCCUCAGUUCGUGCCUACUAAACACAUUCCACAGGAGGAGUGGAUACUGAGAUCCUCCCAGGUCUCUAGAAAGGCCAGAUUUCUGCCUGGCGCGUGUGAACUUGUUCUCUGAGCCACCUGCUGUAGCUCAUUUCUGUAUUCAUCCUCCUUGGGCCGCUUAUCACGGGUUGAGGACAGCAGAUCUCCCACCAGCCGUGCUUUAGACAGAGCGUUGGUGUCUGUGGCCUUCAAGAAGAACAGAGGCCAAGAGGCUGGCAUACGGACCGGCAGGUAGGCAAGCACAGCUCAUCUUUCUGGGCAGUGGAACUGGAAAAUGGAUUUGGGCAACAGAUGCACUUGUUGCAAGGACAGAUUUUUCUCUUGACUAGGAUUUGGUGUCUUUUUGGUGUUUGGUCAGGGUAAGCCUCUCUGAGAUGUGAAGGACCCAUUCAUACGUGUAACUUUUUUCAUAUGUCUAAACUUUUCAGGUUCCUAGUGUGGUUAUUCCUGUGUGCUGUUAGUGGUGAACAGUGCAGAGUUCGUUGAUUUUAUCCACGCAUUGUACUUUUUCAGGACAGCAGUGCAGUUUAGGAGAAUUUAAGGAGUACAGGUGAGAAUGCAAGUUUGAUUUGUAUCGUGCUAUUCCAGCAACACAUGCUGGAAUGAGUUAGAAUGCUUAUGAUAAAGCAGCCGCUGAACUCAGUGUAAUGUUCUGAAAAAUGUAAUAAUAUUUCAGGCUAAAGCAGCAUGUGCCACUAGCUAGUAAAAAGCAGAGGAUGAUCUUCUUGUAAACUGAAUUUUCCCUAGUUUUAGAGACAGUUUCUGGUUUCUUGCAGUUAUAUCUGAGUUUAGUGAUACAUAUUAGCUGAUGCAUCGUUUAGUUUACAUAUUUAGUCUAGAUCCUUGGAGCUAGAUGAAGAUAUGUUAAUGCCUAGUGUGUCUGCUCAGAGGCCUAUUUUUACACUGAUUAUACAAAGAAAAUCAAAACAAAAUAUUUUCUUUUAUACUCCAUGAUUGUUCCAUUGUUUUACUGUUGAAUUAAUGAAUGUUCAGUGCAAAAUUUACAACAGAAACGUUAGAUGCCACUGGAAGGGAAACUCCAGUGUGUUUUAUGGAUAAUUCUUCUUUUUUUUCUUGCUCCUUUGUGAUUACAGAGUGCUAUAUUUUCAAGAGGGUGAGAGAAAACACUAAGGGCUGCUCUUGGAACCAGAACGCAGACUCAUUUUAGUCACUGGUCUUUGUACAGAUUGACUGCUCUUGACUUUGCUCCCUUUCUGUGUUAUUUGGUGUUAAAAAUGGUUUGCAGUGUUUCAGAGUCCCACAGUGUGUGGCCUGAGUUACAUGAGUAUAUUCUGUGAGAAUUAAUAGUGCCAGUGGAACUCAGAGUUGAUAAAUGCUACUAUUACCGUACAAUUACAUACUAAAUGUUACCUGCAUUACUCUCUCAGGCCAACACACUGCACUCCCAGGGAAGAAACGCAUAACAUGACAUGAAGAAAAUGAGAACAUAUUUAAAUGGGAUGUCUCCAGGAUAGUCUAGGGAGACAUUAAACUGGAUUUCAGCUUAAGUCUUGUGUAGGUAGAUAUGCCUGUGAAGAAUUAACAAAAUGGGAGACCUAAAGGGAUAUGCUUAGUUUGCCAUUUUUCCCCCAGCUGGUAGAAUCUGGUAUAUCGUUUCUAAUAUAACAUUGUUUGAAUAUUGCUCUCUGUUUUAGUUUGCUUUUAGUUUCUUUGAGGAAAUAAUUCUAAGGCUUGCUUUCUGUUCCUGUUGCUGUGUCUUUCAGCAGUGUCUAACUGGUUGACUUACGAGAGGAAAAAGUGCUGUGAAAUACAGUGCAUAGAUAAUCAAAAGCAGUAAGGCUUUUUUUGCAUUUGUUCCCUGCUAACUACUUCUUGUGAUUAUUUAUAACAAUGUGAAAACUGUAUCUAUCUGCACAAAUCCUAAGAAGACACACCUGAUUUAGUUGUGCAUAUGAAGAAGGGGAAAUACACAGAAUAUUUCCCUUUUUAGUUCGUGAUUGAAAUCCAUUGUGCAUUGUUGUUCUACUGUUAGUAAUGCAUAGACAGAAGAGCGGGCUGUCACCAACAACGUUUCCUUGGUUUGUAUUUCAGAGGGUAAACAUGUAGAACGUAUAUUUAUGGAUACGUAUGUGCACAGAUGAGUGUACACUGGUUGUAAUGUGUAGUGAUAUAGUAAAGCCCCUGAUAGAGUGAAGCAAAGGGAAAUCCCUAGCAGUAUUACAAUGUGUAGGUUGUGUUUACAGUCGGAGUAAAACUCUUUUAAUCUGUGAAAUGAGCACUUGUUUGUAGGAACACAAAAUACAGUGUGAACACUGUCACCAUAAUUUCUAGGGGAAGUGAUGAAUUGUACUUAAGAGGCUGUAGGACACACGGCAUGUGAAGGAGAUAACCAGAACACAGCUGGCCUUGAGAGUCUGAUUAAAAGGCAUAAAACUUCUUUCUUUAUAGAAGCAAAGCAGUUUGGGUUGAUAGGCUUGAUGGUGGAAGCUAAGUAUUGAUUAUCUUUUUUUAAUUUAUUAUUUAUAAUUUGGGAAGUUGUUGUUUAUUUUACUCUACGUCAGCUUUCAAAAAUACUAUUCAUAAAAGAUAAUAGAGCAAUGUCUGGAAUAUGGAUUUACAGAAUGUUUUAUCCAUAGUAGGAAAAAAAUAUGUACAAAAAAAAGAAAAUGGAUUCCAUUUUGGUCUGUUCAACUUGAUGUUGUGUGUUUAAGAAAACAGUCUAUUCUUGGGAGCUCAAUUUGUACUGAUAAUCAUAAAAAUGAUUUUGAGGAGGCAAAGAAUGUGUCAGAAGCAUUUUCUGGAAAACGUAAUUAGCAAGACUAAAUACCACUUCUCCCUUAAAAAUCAAAUCACAGCAAAGCACCCUGCAGAGAGAACUGUUUGUAGACAACUGCCGGAGUCCAGGCAGGGAAUAUACAGAUGUCUGUCUGAAUGGGGACAGAUGUAGUUAAGUUCACACAUAUCUUUAUUGUGUGAACAACAUUUUUUUUUAAAUUCACGUGUGUGUUUUCAGUGCAGUGCUUUGAAGAAUAACAAAUGUUUUGCCUAUUCAGUACCUGCAGUAGAAGGUACUUGAGUAAAAAAUGUGUAAUAAAUUGUGUCUUAGAACUCAGGGUCCUGAUAUACUUCCUUUGACUUGAAAGACACAGUGAGGCUAAUUGUGAAUUGUUUGGAUCUGUUGUAAGCUGCAUCAAAUUUCUUUUUUAGGUGUUUUGGCAAAUAACAACGGGAGCUGCUACUUAGAGUAUUUUAUUAAUGCUAUUUAUGUCCUCAGGAGUGCAGAACCAUGAGAAAAAGAAGUAUGAGUGAAGUUAUAUUUUGCUGGUUUAGCGUUAUUUAAAUAUUUUCCUUUAAGAUAGUAAGUCCAACCUGAUUGUUUUUUAAUGGGCCAUACCUUAAGAAAGAUUGAGAGAAUAUGUGAAUAACACAGCAACCAGAGUUCACUGACGAUAUGUUGAAAAGCUGUGUUUCCUUAACAAAAGUGUAAGCGUAUCAUUAUUUGAAAUUUGAAAGUUGUAAAGUUUGAAAAAUACUAAAAACCAGAUCUGCUUCCAUCAUGGGUGUGCUUUGCUUCUUAAUUAAAAGAUAUUUUACCAAAGACAUUUGCAGGCUUUUUCACUGUUGGUUUUCAUUCCACUUCUGCCAGCACUUUUUUUUUUUUUUUUAACAUCUCUCACACAGGAGGAAUGAGAAAAUGCAUUUCUAUCUAACAUUCUGAAGAGGUAUAAAGAUCUGAAGAUAGAAAACACCAUUAUUAUGAUGUUUUAGGUGUAGUUCCAGUUUCCUGAAACUAAAAGUACCUUCACAACAACUUUGUAAUAGAGGCAGGUUUAUUUUUGCUUGGAUGUUUGGAGUGAUUACAUACAUAGCAACCAUUUUUGUCUCUACAAUUGGAUUUUGCAGCUCAGUGAUGUAUUAUUAAAUGCAUUGAGCAGUUAUGAUACAACCUCUGAACAGCUCUGAAAGGGAGCUUGGGAUUACUCCUAGUUAACAAGACGUAGUGUAGAAGGUAGGUGUUUUUUUCCCAACAGUUGAUUUCUUGCAUGGGAUGCAGCAGGAUUUCUUUACUUCAGAUACUUGUGCCUGAAUCUUCUAGCAGUGAGAAAACAGUUUAUGAAAACCUGAAUGUGUAAAUUGCAUAUUCCUUGCAGAGAUCAUCAGAAUAUUUUAUUCUUUAUAUAAAAGUCUAAUGUUGUUCUGGAGAGAAGAGGAUUCAUGGUUACCAACUCAUAUGGAUUCUUCAUUGAUUUUAUUAAAUAGUGGAUUGGACAAUUAAUGUGUCAAGAUUGUACAGCAUAAGUAUUUUGAGGCUUUCGACAGCUGUGUUGCGUGCUCAACUGACUCAGACAUAAGAAUCGAAAGAUUUUUGCUUUUCUUACAGUCCUCUUGUCAGUGUGAAAGUGCAUGAGCUAUGCUGUUCUUGAGUACUAAUGUGGGUAUUCUUCCAUAAAGGAGAGUUCAUGUUACAGUUAUAGUGAGAAUUUGGAAUUCAGGAAUUGACAUUUUUUCAGUUUUUUAAGCAAUGAUUUUUUAUUUUUAUUUUUUUAGCAGCAUGUCACUAAAAACAUAUCUUACAAGAGAAAAUUAAGUGAGAUUCAGACUUAUGCCUGAAUAUAACCUGAGCUCUAACUGUUAAGCUUAAGAAGCUCUUGUAGAUUAGACCUUAUCUUAAAAUUGCCUUCACUUAGUUCCAUCUUGUAUGGAGUCAAUUAUGAUGAGUUGGGAUGUUAUCUUUAAUAGCUGAGUGGAAUUUUCAAAUAUAUCACUACUUAAGUUUUACAGUGCUUAAGUUUCUGGAGGUGUGGAGAAUAAAAGUAAUUCUGAACAAAAUUAUUAUUAUUUUUUGUUUUAGGUUCACUGAUAAGAUGCAAACCAGAAUCUGCCUGUUGGUUAUCUUUCCAGACAUGUUUCAGAGCUAAUAAGGGAGACUGACGAGUACCAUGACUUCAAACAGAAGCAUUUUGGUAAGUUAGUCACCUAAGUCCAUUAGGAGAUGGGAACAUGGUCCUUUGCAUGAGCAGAUUUUUUUUCUGCUCCUUCAUUGUAAAAGUGUACUUUUUUUUAGAAACGUUGCUAAAAACACAGGCCAUAUACAUUUUGUAAAAUGUUCAUGCUGUCAGAAAACUUGAGAAUAAAAACCAGCACAUUCCUGCAAGAUAGCAUAGAAUCAUUAAGGUUGAAACGACCACUAAGAUCACCUAGUCCAACUGUCAACCCAUCACCAUAAACCAUGUCACUCAGUGCAACGUCUGCUCUUGAAAACCUCCAGGGAUGGUGACGGUGACUCCCACCUCCCUGGGCAGCCUGUUCCAAUACCUCACCACUCUUUUUGAGAAAUUUUUCCUAAUAUCCAACCUGAACCUCCCCUGACUCAACUUAAAGCCGUUACCCCUUGUCCUAUCGCUAGUCGCCUUUGAGAAGAGGCUAACCCCCACCUUACUACAGUCUUUCAGGUAGUUGUAGAGAGAAAUAACAUCUUCCCUGAGCUUCCUCUUCUCCAAACUGCAACAGUCCCAGUUCCCUCAGGUGCUUCUCAUAAGGCCUGUGCUCCAGACCCCUCACCAGCUUCGUUGCCCUUCUCUGAACACACUCCAGGGCUUCAGUGUCUUUCUUCUAUUGAGGGGCCCAGAACUGAGUGCAGUACUCGAGAUGCAGCCUCACCAGUACUGAGUACAGAGUUAUACUUAAUUAGAACAUCCUAAACUUCUAGAAAACUUCAUAGCCUUUCAGGAUUGUGUUCUGGUUUUGGUCAAAUGAAACACAGUGCUCUUUGUAUCUAUGAAGGUUCCGCAUUCUUUCAGAAUUAAUUAUUUGAUGUUUCUGUUACAUCUUUCUUGGUAAGCCUAUAUUCCUCUGCAUGUCAGGAAGAAUAGUCUUAUAUUCAAACUCUACUGAAUAACAUCAUCUGCUUCAGGAGUUUCUCAUUGCAUUCAUAACUAGGUAUUGGCUGCAUUGCAGCAAAAUUUAAAUAAAGCUAGUUCCACAACACACACCUAAUAUGUAUGUAUUCACUGUCUAAAUAUGCUUUACAGGCUCUUGAUCUCCUUCCUGAACUCUUAAAAGCUUAAUUUUUAAUGUGGUAACCAUCUGGUUUUUAAUUCUUUUAGUUCUUAAGUGUACUAGUACUCUCAUUCUAGCAUGUACAGUUCCCUUAUACCUCAGGGAUGGUUUGAUUGUGUUAAUAUAGCUAACAGUAUAGCUUGACUUUAUUAAAGCCUACUAAUGCGUUUAAAAGGGAUGGAGAGGUCACACAGUUUUCCCUUUACACUAGUUCUGAUCAGUAUUUUUACGUACUUACAUUAAUGUAUGUUACAUAGUAUAAACACAGGUGAUUAAAAGAAAAAGCUAUGCCACUUUUAUGUCACUGGAAGGUAGGGUGCAAGUAUGUAGUCUGCAUAUGAACAUGUAGAUAUCACCCAAAGAUAAAUCGAGUAUUAGGUAGGGCAAAAUAGCCCUAUCUAAGAAACACUUGGAUAAAUUCUUCCUUACUUUUCCUCUAUGCAGAACUCUUGUACAAAUAUCUACUCGCCCCAUCCUUUUCCAGAAUUUCUCUUUGUCUCCUGUUUUGAUAACUGCUACACUUCAUUGGUGUUCUUUACCCACACAGGGCCCAAAUAGCAAGUGGAGACUUCUGAUUAAUGAUUACAUCUUACUACUGACUUUUUUAUAAAAGCAGUAAAGAGCAGAUUAUGUCUAGCAUUGUACCAUUACUAAGGCAUGAGAGUUUCUUCCUACAAUUCCUAGCCUUCUUGAUUUUGUUUUAGUCAGGCUGUUCCCUAACUUACUCUAAUGGACAUUAGGUAUCCUCUGAACUGCUGUGCACACGUAGUUCCUUGCCUGUACAUGCUUUAUCUGUCUAGAGCCAUGGAAAGCAUCUUAUGCGCCUUAAAAUUAUGCUUCUUGGCAGUUGGGAGAGCAUACCUGACAUGCCAUAAUCUAGGAUGCAAGCAGUAGAACAGAGACUAGCUAAGAAGAGGGAUUUCCAAAAUAUUGGUGUAUUUCUCGUGGUUCACACAUGAGAAAAAGACGUUUGAGAAAUGCAUCCAAUGCAAAUACGGAGCCUGGGUUAGAAUUGGAAGCAUCUGUAAUCCCUGUCUCAGUGAGGCACAGCUGUAGUAGCACAAUGAGUACUACUCUGUAGCACAGUGAGGUAGAGCUGUAGCUCUAUUUCUGUAAGGGUACCUCUGCAGCAAAAUAAAUAGGGCAACUCCUGAUCUAAGGUAUUACUUAUUCUAUCAUCAUGAUGCUCUUCUGACAGCCACACAUGAACAUUACAUUACUAGUGCAUCAGAAAAAAGGUCAUAGUUGCUUGAAUAAAUAACAUUGGUAUUUUGCAAAUGAGCAAUUAAGUUAUGAAGCUUAUUUUCGUAUCGCAGCUGGCAUUGAUCCCGCUUUGCAUUAUUUAACACCUAACACUCCAGAGUGAAUUCUUUUUGUCAAGUGUGCAGUGUAGCUUUGUUGUGGUAACAUCUCUCAUGACCUCCUCAAGCAUGGGCAGAGCUGGUAGGAGUAAAGUUCUGCACUUAAUUACCAUGUAGAUAGCUCGGUUGUCUUCACAGCCUCUCUCUUUGCUCGCUCCCUUCCUCUCUUGCACCAUUCCUUCGGCAGCAGUUUUCUCUGAUUCCUGGCACAGAAGCGUGGUGUCAGUGCAAUGCGUGCCCUCUGCAGUAGCUGAUUUCUGUCCCAGCUGGCUUUUUCAAGACUCUGGAAACAAUUUCUGCCUUCUUUACCUCCUCAUUCGUAUCUCCAAAGUAGGACGCUACAUGAAAUAAUUGGCUUGACAGAGGUCCCAUUACAGAAGUCACCAUGGUAGAGAGUGGUAAGCCUAGCCUCUGAAGGGAUAAGAACUAGUCAAGAAGUGAUAAUGUCCCUUUAUACUGCAGUUUAUCAGAAGGGAUUCCAGGAGGGAAAAAGUUAAAAAAGAAGUCUUGUGAAACUCAGAAUUUGUUUUUUAAAAUGCAUGAGUCAGUGUUUACUGUAAAAUUCUUUUUUUUUUUUUUUUUACUACAGACCGAACAAGGAAGGAAACAAAACAUUUGAGCUCUCUGUGUAAAGGCAGCUACUUUCUCUGUGCCUUUUUCUUUCCUCUGUUUAAUUCCCGGUACCCUAGAGAUACAGUUUCCUCCCUUAGCAGGGACUGUGACCUUAAAAAUAGCCAGUUCCAAAAUAAACACAGCCAAAAAAGAAAAAAAAAACCCGACACUUCAAUUGUUUCACAUAUAUGGUAAGUAAUCAAAACUGCAUCCUUGCUAAAGCUGAAAUUCAUAAACUUUUGAAGCUUUUGUUUCUCUGAGACUUUUGUUUCUCUGAGAAAUCCAUUAAAACCUUGGGUGCCCUUUGCCAAUGGUUUGUCUCUGUCCUUACCACUGUGGCAGAGUUUCCAGAGGACAUGGUUUGUCAUUGGCUCAGUGGAGGGUGCGCUCACAUCACACAGGAAAGGGGUGAUCCCAAGGCCUCCUCACGGACACCUCUAUAUGGGUUUGUCUCCUGCUGGAAGGCAUCACUGCUGCUCAGGGCCAACUCUUCAAACAGAAAGUUUUUCCUAUCGCUUUUGCUUCUAGUUUUAAAGCGCUAUUCUGUGUUGCAUGAAAGAGGAGGUGGUCCCGCCCAGGUUCCGUGUCUGGAUUUAGGCUUUGGUAGCCACUCUGUCCAGGCAGACUUCUGGGCUGUCUCACUGCCGCCACUUCCUUCACUUCUAUCUGCAAUUGGACCAGAGUUCACAGUUUAUACAAAAGCCUUUUCCAGGGAAGGAAAUUAUCUAGUGGGUGAAAAAGCCUUUCCCAGCUCUGUUGUUAAGGGCUGUACUGAUCAUUCAGGAGCCUUCCAGUGCUGUGCAAUUGAUAAGGACAGAAGGAUAGGAGAAAGGACAUUCAAGUGCACCAAAUAAAUCCCCUCUGACAAACAAGAAUAAUAUUCUCCAUGUCUGGACAGUGAGCUGUUGUCCUUAUGCUCUUGCAUGGAUAAGUUAGUCAGGUCUUACAAAUGCAGCUCAGUGAGAAGUGUCUUCUAUCUUUGUUAAGAAAGGCCUGUUUAAAACCAGUGGAAAUUCAAGAGUAACGGGCUCUUGGAUCUUCAAAAACAUUUCAUAUACUUCUUCCACAAACACCAGGUAGUACUUGUGCAGACUGUCACAAGAUGCAAGCAUUCCCUCUGCUUUUCAAGACCCAAAUUCAUAGUGCAGGAGUGAGUUUUCUACCUCUUCCCACAUGAAUAUGCCAAAUCUGUGUAGCGCAGAAAAUACUUGGGCACUCGAGUACUUUCCUCUGAAUAUAGUCUUAAAUCUUUAAUUUAAUUAGAAAAAAAAGCGCUAAAGCAUUUUGAAGCCUGAGAGCAAGACUAUGAAACUUUUCUGAUUAACGCAGACAGCUUGGUUCUUUCAGGUGUAGGAGAAAGAGAAACAGCCAGCAAAUGAGCAGGGGGAAGUAGCAAACGAACAUUUUGUGUACUUUUCCAUCUAAGAUGUAAUAGUUUCUGAAGGUUUUUUAAUCCAUCAUGUUAGCCUAAUCCCCAGGGAGCUCAUUUUGAAAUUAAAUAUACCAAAGCAUUUAUGAUUUACAAAGAGGGAAAAAAUACAAGCCUUAAAAAAUAUCAUGUGUUUGAUCUGUUUGUCGCUAUGAAAAUAUUGACAAAAGGCAAAAGAAUGGCCUUCAUUUAGAUUAUUAUUGUUGGCUUGCUUUAUUGCUUUCUUACUAAGGGCAAACUCCCAUUUAGAUGUGAGAUUAACUCUUUCACUAUUGCGAAGAAAUAAGAAACUAAAAAUUUGAAUAUAGAACUCAUGCAAGUAACAGUUCUAACCCGAGUAAUUUGUAUGUGAUUCCUACUCAGAAAUGUGUGACGUAUCAGAAGGAACCUUUGAAAAGUUAAAAAUGUAUAUGAAAUAGAUUAUGCAGUGUGUAUGCUUCAAAGUAUCUUUAAAACGCAGCCUGCUCUGUAAACUUAGAAACAUGGUGUUAAUUACACAGUCAUCAAAGUAGUUAAGAAAAUAAAUGCUUUAUAGGGAAAAAGAAGAGGAAUAUUAAAAGUCUUAUGUACUCUGAGUCUGCAUCUGUACAAUAAGGAUCUGUCUGCACUGAAGAGGUAGUUAACUGCAGACCCAGCUCAGCUGUUACUGGUAACUUCAGUCACCCACAAAGCCAUCUAGUUUUUUGGGUAGUGCUUUUCACUUGAGUCAGCCAAUCCAUUGGUUUCGGGAGCCUGAUUUGAAGAACAAGUGCUGCUGAUAUUUAAAUGGGUAAUGCAAUAGAGAAGUGGCAAGAGACUUGAAACUUGAGUUAACACAGUGUAUCAGCUGCUAAUCCAGUCAUGCUGUGCCACUAAUCAAAUCAUUCUGGUAGUCCAAGCACUGUUUUUCAGUGGAGUCACUGUCGCACAAGUAAGAACUAGGUUGAAGUCUGUGCCAAAAAUGUGUCGUAGCAAAACUUAACCAAACCAAGGUCUGGCUGGCCAGUCUGGGUCUCAGAAUUUGUCUGCAUGUUAGCAGUGUGAGGGAUCAGUUUCUAAGGCAGAUAAUCCAGUUCCUCGCACACACCAUGCAGUGGCUAUGCUGCUGCUGUUACUACCCAUUCUUGUUAGUUCAAACCCCACUCAAAUAGCUUAAAACUCAUUAAGGUUAGAAGGAGAAUGAUAACCUAGCUCUGCAUUAGUAAUGUGAUGCCUGAUGUUGCAAGGGCGGCAAACUUGAAGUUUAAGCUAUCUGUUGUUGCAUUACAGAGAGACAGAUACAGAUGGUACACUGCCAUCCCAAAAUUGCUGAAAGAAAUUGCUAGUUUGAACUAUUUAUUCAAUUAAAUUCCCUCUGAACUAACAUUAACAAGAAAACUAACUGUGUUGUUAUCACUUAAGUAUCUGAAGAAGCCUGUUGGCCAGAAUGUCAUAUGAACAGGAAUGUCUGCUGGGAUAUUUAAUUUCAUCUCCCUUGACAGUGUGUAGUUGUUCUCUUUUAUACGUUCUCUAUUAACUGUUAGUGAGCUGUGUAACCUUGUAGAAUAGGAAGCAGUCACUCCAGGCCGGCACAAAGCACACAGAAAUCCAUAUCUGAAGAAGAUGCCUACAGAAUUUCUAGAGUUAGCAUAUCAGUCCAAUGAACCAAGAUGUUCCCAAUUUCCUUCUCAUAAUUUCCCACCAGGUUGUUGUUUUUUUUUCUUCACUGACCAAUACUCUUCCUUGUCACUGCAACUGAAAGUAAUCUUUAGGACUGUUUCUUACCCUGUGAGGACCUCUUCCUGCAAACAUACAUCUCCUUUACCUCAUCUGCACAGACUGGUUUGAAGGCUGCUUGCUCAGAUGUACAGAAACAACUCUCUCUUGACACUUCAUGAACCUUUCAUCACUACCUCACAUCUGAAUUUAACUCAUGCCUUGUACAGAAAUCUUGAAUCUUGGGGAGUAGUAGGAAGUGUAGUAAAGCUUAUAAUAAGCAGUAAGCUUGUCUUUGGAGUUGUGGGCCAGAAACACCACUUCCAUGCAAAAUGCAUUCACUGUACAGAUAUCUCAUGUCUUGUGUUGGGUUUUGUUUUGUUUUUUUUUUCUUUUUUUGUCAACUUCUUUGUUUGCUGUAUUUUGUGUCUUUGGAGUUGAGGAAUAGAUUUUUCUCGGGAGCCUGCAGUACUUAAAAUAUAGGGGGACGUUGCUUUAUUAAAACAAUCAUUUCAGUUGUCAUGGCAACUGGUUUUACAUAAAUGAUGAAGAGGAAGUGAUCAAGGGAUACAUUUGGUCAUAAUGGUGAAUCCACUGCUUUUUAUAUGAACGAGAAAGUACUCCGGAGUUUCUUCUUGCAAUAGUUCAUUUUAUUCGAGAUUAUUUUUUUACAGCUUAAUAUUAUCCAAGUUCACAGUCAAAAAAUACAGCACUUGUAUACUCACCACAGUAUCUGUUUCUCUCAUCUGUGUAACUAUUAAGCUCCUCCACUAGAAAAUUAUCAGAUACGGAUGCAGAACAGCAUCUGAAAAAAACAGACACUGUACUUCAUAAUUGCCUGCAGAAUACUUUCCUGCCCUCCUCCAAAACUUCACUCAGUCAAAUAGUCGGUAACUGCAGCAUGAGGGAGAAUGGAGUAGUGGCUGCCGAGGAGAUCUGUUUGAAACACUUUGUUAGAAAUAGUUAAUUUUCUCACAACUGUGCUGUGUUGAAGGAUAACUGGAGAACAAGGAGCAUUCUGGGGGACGUUUUUCUAGAAUCAGCAUAUGUAAUUUCCAGCAUUCACAAGUGGUUAAGAAGUAGUUCACUACAGAAGACCAAAAACCAAUGCUGACAACAUUUAGAAUUUUUUCUUUCUCUAGGGAUUUAACAGUAGAAUCAAAUUUAAACAAUAUUAGUGUUUUUCACUGCUAAAAACAUUUACAGUACUUAAAAAAAUGUAUUAAAGAUAUACAAUAUAUUAUAAUUAACAUCCUUUGCCUUUUUAACCCUAUUACCUGGUUUUCAGUAUGAUUUUUAAACCCCUCUCCAAAUUUUUGCCUCUUGUUUUAUUAAUCUUUAUAUUGCAAACACCCUACAGGAUACGAUUGUUCCUAUUCUAACAUACGGCAAAACAAAGUUGAUAGGUUAUAUGGCUGUAGACCACUGCUGACCAUGUAAAUGGUAUUCUUCCACACUCUCCUGCCCCCUCUGGCAUAUACUCUGGCUUUUAUUGCAAACACAAGACUCAUGCUGCUCAAAGUUCAGCAUCAGCUUGCUGUCACAGAGAUUCACAGUGCCGUGAGCUAGUAUGAUACAUCUCAUGGAGGUACUGGAAGUGACUCCAAGCCAUUUGUUUCAUCAGCGCUGAAAACUUGCAGAUAUAGAGGAGACAGGUGAAAAGUGCCAUUCUAAGAGAAAUACUGCUUCAGUGUGACUGUUUGGCCUUUUUAACUGGCAUUGCGCUACUUUAAGGGCUAGCACCAACUUCUCUUUCAUUUUCUCCUGUUUGUCAAAAGUAAGUGUUGGUAACCCUGGGGGAGAGGCUGUAAUACAGCAGAUUUUCCUGUGGGGACAGCACUGAGUAACUUCAGAAAUACAUGAGCAGUUGCAAGAAAAGUAGCGGGCAGGGAAGUUAAGAAGUACUCUGCAGUCUAUUCUCAGGUUCCUUACUUAGAUAUGUCAAAAGUGUCAUGCAAGCAUGCCUCCAUCAUACCUCCCAUGUUUUUAUUUAAGUGAAAGCUGAACAGCAGAGUGUGGAAACUUUUGGUUUCUUGAGUCUCAGCAGGUAAAGCUCAGUGUAUUCAUUUCCCAGGAGAUCAUGCAAAUGGUGUUUUUUUUUUUUUUCUUAAUCUUUGUCUUGCUUUGUUUAAGUUUGCAGCUACUGGAUUCUGCUUUAAGUCUCAAGUUUAAAAGAACCCAGACGCUCUUGGUAAAAUAUCAGAGAAACCACUGAAUUUCACCUGCCUUUGCAAGGAAAUCUUGUGAAACCACGAGUUUUCCACACUGCCAGUGUGAAACCCUGUGUUAACUCAGAGCUUCUUUUACCUCAGAUCCUCUGAAGGGUCACAGCCCUUAGGGAACAUCUUCCUCAACUUUGGCCUGUUUUCAAAGUUCGUAAUAAAACUCAGAAUUCUUUCCGUGAUUGGAGGAGUUUGUAACAAAAGCAGAGUGCAACUGUAAUCCAUGUAGCUUUUCAAUCAGUGGUUUUAGAGGUGUUUCAUAACCUUUGAACAUAGCACAUAUGUAGGAAGCUUGUCAGGCACGCCUGUUUUGGCAGGUCUGUUUGUGUUUUGAAGGAGCUGUCCCACCUGUUGUCACAGCAGUGUGGCAGAUUGCUGGCCCCACCACAAAGAUACGGGACACUGCAAAAUAAAUGUCUCGGGGAAAUAACAUCUCCCAUAAAACACAGAGAGCUAUAUUGUGCUGUAAGAUUCAGCCUUCCCUGGCGUACCGAGGAGGUUGCAAGCAGCUGGUCUCUUCAGAUGCAUCUCUCUCUGAGCUGGCUGCAGCAGCAUUAGCAGUGGGACCUCCACCACAUGUUAACAGCAUUGCACAUAUGUCCAGCCAGAAUGGCUCUGGCUCAGCAGAGGGGGCAGGCUGCGGUAAUAGUUCUCCUUUUGUACUCCUACAUACACUGCAGGUUCAGCCAGUCCAAACAAAUCUCCUUUCACUUGCUGUGUCUCUCUUAGGGUUCAGUGUAUAGGCUGGAAAUCUCUCUCAUGUAAAGACACAGAGAGAAACAGUGUUAGUGGUUGAUCUGUUACUGUCCUAGGUAAACUAUAGGCUAAAUUUUACCCUUUUCUGAGAACAUUUGACCCUCUGAUUCUGGAGCUGUCUCAUUUUCUUUCAGUGCAGCCAGGCACACCAGCUUCCUCUCAUUUGCCACUAAGAUACAAAGUUUUGAAGUCAGCCACUCUGCCUCCUGCACCUACACCUGGUGAACAAGCUUUCAGCUUUUGAGAGCCAGCCACUUCUUCCCAUUCCUCUGACCUCACUCUUUGCCUAUUUCACAGCUUGGUCUGUUGAAUUGAAGUAAUGAUGUCAUGCUGGAUUGCAAGCAUUGGUAUGAGAAGCAGAAAGAGAGAUGUGCUGCUUUAGCCUUGCUUCUUCUGUCAGUAUACCCAUGUAACAUCUAUAAAAUUAAGUCUUACCUGUUUUGUUGGGUUUUUUGGUUUUUUUUUUUUUUUUUUUUUUGGUCAUCUACUACAAAUACCUCAAAGUCAUAAAUGCACUAAAAUUAAUAAUGAUUGUUUUUUAAUUUUGUGAUUCCAGAGUGGUGGGUUUUUUUUAAUUGUAUCCUCAUUUUCAAACAUAACAUUAGCCCAGUCUCUUAGCUAAUGUUAUAUAAUAAUAAUAAUAAUUUUAAAAAAAGUAAGCAAAAUCCCCUCAGCCAUAUUUGAUUUAUAGGGGGAUGACAAAAACACAGUUUUUAAUGAUGGCUGCUCUGAAAGUAUUGCCUUCUCUUUUAUUAUAUUGGCCCACGACAUCAGAGGCAGAUGUUGAUGGCAUGGUAGCAGAGGUUGAGCCAUCCCACCACUGUUCCAUUAAAUUUUGUUGCCAUGUGACAGAUGGCAGCAGAGGGGCAGUCUGACAAAAUGACGUCUAAUGUCUGAAAUGGAAGUGUAUAUAAAGCAAAGCUGUGUUGUUGAAUUCCUCCAUGCAGAAAAAAAAAUGGCAUCCAUUGAUAUUCACUGAUGCUUGCUUAACAUUUAUGGAGACCAAACAGUGGAUGUGAGCACAGUGAGGCAGCGGGUGGUGCCUUUCAGCACUGGUGACAGCAACAUGGAAGACAAGCUAUGUUCCAGACAGCCAUGCACAGCUGUCAGACCAUGAAAUGAAGAGUGUCCAGAUCAGCUCAUCUGUGACUAUGUUGAAAAACAGUUUUGUAGCUGGUAAUUUUCUCUGUCAGUGUAACUGUGUUCUUUGUAUCCAUUGUCAUUUCCAUGGAAAUAAAUAGAACUUUUGUAGCAACCUAUAUAUUUUUAAAAGUUACUGUGAGAGUUUUUUGUCGUUGUUGUUGUUUGGUUUGGUUUAGGUUUUUAUUUGUUUGUUUUGCAGAGGGAACAGUGUAAGAAUGCCAGAGUCUUGAAACCUAACAUUUGGCAGGUGCUUAACUCUUUAUUAGGAAGCAUGUGCUUUGAAGUUUUUUCCUAAAGAUCUGCAUAUCUGCCUCUUAGGAUGCAUGAGUUGUUAAUAAUUCUAGGAAUAAUGUGAUAGGCAUGCAAUUUAGAAAGGAAUAUUAAGUGCCUAUUAAAACUUGGAUUUUUUUGCUUUUAUUAUCCACAGUGUUACUUUUUUCCAGUUUUUGCUGCUCCUAGCUUAUUGCACGUUGAAAUUAAAAGGUAUCUGCAGAGAUAGAUUCCCCUUUUUAAAUGCUCAUUUGCUGCUUUUGGUGAAAGUACUUUAAAUGCUGUGCUGAACAUUGUAAAGUUCUUGGAGCUGUAAUAGAAAACACUAGUUUCUGGACUUUCAAGGGAAGAAUGUGGUUAGGAUUAUAGCGACUGAGUCACUGUCAAUGGGUGGUCUUGAUUCCAUGCGGUGCAUAGUAGAUAGGGGGACAGAUGAGCCUUUGCUUCAGUAGGUGAAGAGCUGUACUUAAGUUUAAAAAGGGCCAUGCCGGACUAUAUUUUACUCACAGGGGGGUUAAAUAUGGUCAGAUUGCAUCUCAGUAUGGCUUUGUUUCAACUUUUCUGCAAAGUUAGAUAAAGGAUUUGCUUAAAAGCUCGGUAGCUGUAAUGUUACGUGCUCCUUUUGGCUCUUCAAAUUGCUUCUUUUCAUUCAGUGCAUUUCCAUUGUUCCGUUAGCUUUUAAUGAGACAGUUACAAAAUGUCUGCCUCACUCUGACCGCCAUUUUGUAGCCUGAUUGUUGGAUAAUGAAGACUGUGAGAAAUAGAAAAUAAACAGCAUGGCAUAGAGGAGAUUUCAAAAGGAGUACAAACUCUGCAUGUUUUAUUUAGAUGCUUAAUUGUUGCCGACUGGCUGCAUUUAAACAAGUGACUUUACAGUGUCUGGAAGAAGACCAGCUCCCGAAUUCGAGGAGCUGACCUUGGGUAGAUGCCAUCAACUGUUCUUUUCUAUUGGCAAGAACGUGCUGCUGGCAGGAUCUCCCUGUAGCUGCAGUCGCUAACCCAGCUCUGAAUCAGAACCUGCGUGCAUUGCACUAGGCCACCAAUUUAUGCUAUUUAUUCUGAGUAUUAUUCGCAGCCCCUUCAAUGACAGAGAUUUGAUCUACAGUAUAUAGGAUGUUUAAAAAUAAGAACCUUUGAAAUCACUAUAAUUAAGCUUCUCCCAUAGAGCAACCGAUGUUGUUCAGAAAAAAAAGGGAGGAAGGGAGGCUCCAAGUUUGCUGAAAGCAAACUGAAAAUGUACUACAGGAAUUGAAGGGAUACUGUGGAAUUGUUAUUGUGGUCCUAUGGAUGGGUUGCUAACUGAGGAGUGCAGUUAGUGGCAUUUGUUUAUUUCCUUUAUAAGAACUCUUUUUGUGUUUAGAAUGUAGGCAAGGGGGGAUGGGGAAGGACGCUUUACAUUCACAGUAGGGUGCAGAUUCAAAGCUGUUUAAAAUUCUGCCGUAUCUUAAUGAUAAUAGUUAAUCCUAGUAUCAGAACAGUACUUCUAUUUUUAAAAAGCAAUCAAUCAAUCAUUUUAAUACGUUGCACCCUUAGUGCCAAACACCUCAGAAAACGGUGUAUACAAUAGUGAAAAAGCAUAUGAAACUACUUCUAUAGAAUUAUUCUUCCUUUCUUCUUUACCCAUACUUGUACAGUAAGAUCUCAAAGCUGAUGGAAAAAUCUGGAAUUAUAUAAUGGAGUAAGUGCUUUUGAGCAAGACUAGUUGCCGUGUAAGGAACACAGUUAUAGACUGAGUGAGGAGGGGCAAAUAAAUUGCCACACCUGAUUGAAGAUCCCUCUAAAAAUAUAGUGUGUGCUGAGCUUUCUUGGGCACUGUUGGCUUGUAGGGUGGAAGAUGCAUACAGAUGCUUUACUUCAGGAUAAUUGCUUUGAAAAUUGCUUCUUCCCAUUUUCUUCUCAAGACAGCUUCCUAUGUCUACCAGACUCUUUCAGAAAGCUGUUCAUAUGGACGUCAUGCAGAUGUGGGUAAUUGUACAUAAAAGUUCAGUUUCUGCUGCUGCCACAGUGAUGCACACAAAAGCACAGUAGUUGCUUAUGCAUAUGUUCUUCACCUGCAAAAUAAGGAUUGAUAUUUCUUUAUCAUAAGUGUGUCUAAGUUAGUUGAAGCCCUUGCAGUGCGCUAGAAAUACACUUUUCACUGUCAUUAGUGAUAAAAAUGUUAACUACGUAACUCAGUAAUUGUAACAGUUGAAGAAGUCAUAGGACUUCUAUCUUUACAUGAGUAUGAAAGUAUCAGCUACAAAUUCCAGAGAAAGUACUUCUGUAACUACAUCACCUACAUUUUUAUUUAUGUAUAGAUGAUCUCAAAAGUUGGCAUUUUCUUCAGUUGCUCUCUGUCUGUGCUGACCCUCACCCACUGUAUUGAUCAAAGGCUUUGAUUUUUGUAGAUCAGCAAGAGACAGUGAUGUUUUUAGUCAUCAAACUGAUAGGACCAUUGCAUUGGACCAUCCUCCAUUUUUAUAGUGUUUCUUUAAUUGUUGUCUUGCAGAGAGUACUCCAUGUCAGCAGGCCUCUAUGUCUGCAGAAGUCAUUCCCAGUCUGUAUUAGUUCUCUUAGGUACUCCUACUAGAGCACCUCUGACACAUUCGGAUUUUUCUUACCUUUUUUUCUUUUAUUUCUGAAGAGCAAUUAUAGAUAGAGAAGAUAUCUAGAUGUUUUGUCUUUUUUUUUUUUUUUCCAUUUACAGUUAUCGUUUCUGCUCUGUUUUGUUUUGUUAUUUUCUUAAAUCAAUGUCAUGGCUUUAGUAUGCUUUGCACUAUCACUACAGGGAAUUUCUUAGGAAAUGUUAACUAUGUGCAUGUAUAACAGAAGUCAUGUCAUGGUAGCAACUGUAAUCAGUGUUUUCAUUUAUGUUUCACGUGCAUCUCAAUCAGCUUCCAUUUCAUAAAUCACUGUUUGAUUUUCGUCUGCCACUAUUUAGAUCUAUGUUCAUUGUCUGUGUCGAGCAGAAUGUAGAUCCGGUGACACUUGAAUCAGAUUUUACAUGGAUAUUGCUUUCAGUUUAGACAAACUUCUUUUUUCCUUUCUAUACUCUCUAAUUGCUCCUUUUUUGCAUGUUUUAUCCAAUGUGUAUUGCAGUUCUGGUGUACUUGCCAAAAUACUGCACUGAAGAUCAAAAGGUGGUUAUGCUAGGCUUUGAAGAAAGGCAUGUUGAACCUACUGCUGUCAGUGUCAAUAGCAGGGGCAGCGAAUGCACUGAGUUUGGAUGAAGCAGCUCUUCAGAAUCACGGACAAGGCAGCCCAGUUUGUGACUCCUAUACUGUCAUAGGUUGCAAGAUGUUGGCAGUUAUGAUUGUACAGGUGAAAGAGGAGUCCGAAACUUUGACCAUCUUUCAUAUUCUAGUAUGGGAAGGGCAUUCAGGUUUCUGCAGAAUCUCACUGUUUGACCCAUGUGCCGGAGAGCCAUUAAAACUGUGCUUUAAAUGCCGUUCUCUUUUGUGGGCCACCUAAUUCUAGUCAUGAUGUUUGAGAACUACUGAGUCAUUCUCUGCCCAAACUCAUUUCACAUGAAUUAUUAAUUAACUUCAAACAUGCUUGUUGCUCUGACAAUAAAGGGGGAAAGUUCUGAAAGAGAUUUUAGGUUUCAGUUGAAACAUGUCUUCUACAAAUAGGUAUUUGUGUCACAAAAAGUAACUGAAUGGUAAGCAAGUUUAUUUAAGGUGAAAUCAGUGACAAAAGAACAAAUGAACUGGAAUAAGAUCAUAGGUUACAGAGAUGAGACAUCUGGAUUUCUAGUCAAUUCUCUGAAGGUAUAACUAGGAGUUAAUAAGGCUUGUUUUCUUCUUACAAAAGGCCAGAUUUUUAACAUAGUGUCUCAAAUUAGCUUCCUUGGGGAUUAAUAAGUGUUUUUCCAUUAGUUCAAAAUAACCACCUUGGAACUACAAGGUAGUUUAUGACAGUACAUCUUAGCCUUAUGUGUUUAUAGCUGUAAUAGCAUAUUAUUGUGAUUUUUGUAUAUAAAGACAUCUUUCCUAGGGACAGCUGCCUCAGCAAGCAGAUAUGAGCAUUUAUGCUAAGACUUUUUUGAAACAUUUACUACUUUGAUAAUCCAUGUCUUAGGCAAUAUCUCAAAGGAUUUUUUUUAUUUUUUUUUUUAAGUAGCAAUAACAAGGGCUUACAUUUUGUGCUUGUUUGUGGCAGCAAGGAACUGGACUUGGUCCUUUAGGUCCCUUCCCAUUACAUGUUUAAUUUUAAUAGACAGCAAGCAUGUUCUGCUUCCUUGAGAUGUGUCUGCUAUGUUGACAUCUGGAAAGCAGCCAUGUGAGGUUCCACACAUAGUUUUUGCAAACACCAUUUGCUGGUGGAAUGAGCCAGAGCAGACACCUCUUUUGGCAGAACUUCAUUGCCAUCUAUUUUUAGUUGAACCCUAGUACAUCAAAUUACUGUGUGUAAGCCACCAGUAUGGCUUGAAGGCAGGCACUGAAAGAAGAAAGGCAGGCAUUUUGUCUGCACAGUACCCAAAGUGCUUGGCGGUAAGUUAUCCACACGUAUGUUCCAUGGACUACUUCCUUCUCAUUAAUAGAAUGUCAGAAACUGUAUUCCGUGUUGACAGAGAAACGGAGAGGUGAGAGGGUCUUGCUGUGUCAUUUCUGGAUUCUCGUGGCACAUUGGUGCACAUGGAAAUUUCAGAGGAAAAAUGUUGGCUAGAAUAUGCCCAUUCUGAAAUAACAGAACUUAUGUACUCAAACAGAGCACUCGAGAGUGCAUCCAGUAACUGAAUAGGUAAAUAACUCUAGUUUUGAGUCUCUCAGCUGACAUCUAUUAGCUUUCAAGUAAUUUGAGAAGGACUGAUGACUAUUAUUCUGUCCAAAGCAAGGGAACAGCCUAGACUUUUUUGCCCUGAAUGUUAAGGUGGCAGAAAGGAUGAUGUAGAUUCCCUGCAAAACUCUGCAGUCUCUGUACAAAAAUGCCUUUUUCAGAAGUUUGCAGGAAUAGCUAAUUUUUACUUAUGCUCUUUAUGCUUUUUUAAGUUACUGCACUUUUGCGUGUCAAAUAAAUUUAUAUACAUUUUUAGUCCAUACCUAAAUAUCUGUGGUAUAAAUGAAAGACCUGAUAGGCCUCUUAGUAGGGUACGUUGUAAGUAAAUGUUUUUAUUCCUCGUACAAUUCUAUGCUUUGUUUGCCUGAGUGGUAGAGGACAGACUUUAACAGUGGAGUGUCAGUCAAGUGAUUUUUUUUCUGAGCCUUUUAUGAGAAGAUGUUGGAUAUGAGAAGGCAGUGGCACUCAAAACUCGAGUUGUAUUUGAAUAUUUUAAGUCCUAUUUGUGCAAAAUUUAUUUGCCACAUAAUUGAAGCUUCAAAAGCUCCAUGAAAAAAUCUGAUCCUCUUUCUUAAACAAGCUUGGAUUUCUUUUGUAAUUGAUUAAUUUCUUUUUUUUUUUUUUUUUAACAUUAAGUAAAAACAGCUUGCAAGUUUUUCAAGAGUUUUCCAAGCAAUUCACUUGCACGGUGCUUGGACACUCAGCAGGUCUCUACAGAUCAACAGUGGCUAGGAAUGUAAGCUAGUGCCAGGUGAAUGGUCAGCUUUCAUUCCUUUCCCGUAGUUAAUGUCAAAGGGUCAAAGAUGAUCAGAUCGGUUUUUUAAACAAAAAAAGUAAAAAGGCUGCUAACAAUUCAGCCUCAGCUGUGUUAGGCUUCCUUUGGUGAUGUCUUUUUAAUUGGAUAUUUUUAUGUGAUUAUUUUCUUCUUGGAAUUACUUUAUGAAACUCAUUAAUUUAUAAAAAACUCAGGUAGAAAACCCCAAACAAAUGCCAGUAUUUGAAGCUCAUUACCAUAGUUUCCCCUUGAUAUUAGACAAUUCUUUUUCAUAAGAAGCAUUUUUUUUUUUUUUUGCUUCUACUCAUCAGGUCCCAGUUGUGAUAAUGUUUGUAGCUUGAAUAGAUGGAAUUUAGAUCUAGUCCGGUAUCCAGAUAUGGGUAUAAAACGUCAGAAAUUAGGAUGUGUGCUACACCAGUCUUCCUAUCUAUGCUUGUCAUUUUUGGAUCAUUCUGAGAGCAUUUGCUAUUAAGAGAAGAUAUAAAUGAAUUAUUUGUGUAUUUUUAUUUCCCACUGAAGCAAUCCCAUUUAUUAUGUUCCUGUCUUCCUCUAGAUAUUAUAAAAUAUCCCAUUUUCUUGCUUUGUCAUUCAUCAUGCACUGGGGAUAGUUGAAGUCGUGACAGCCCUGUUCAUGCUGCCUACUUUAAUGUUUUGUACUGGGUUGUGUUUACAUUAGAAGGAUCAUAGUUUUUCUUCUAUGAAUUACCGAGUAGGUGAGAGUUGUAAUUGUAAUUUGCAGCUUAGAUGAUUCAUUGGUCAUAGAAAGUGGUGUUCCCUUCUCAAAUGAAUGGGCGGCUUAUUUACAGUGCUCAGCAUUACCAUUGUCUUUCCACAGAUGACGAUUUGGGGUUUACUUUAUUUUUUAGCCAUUGGGGAUCAUUCUAGUAAAAAUUAUUGGUAAGCCACAAGCAAAAAUCUCAGGUUCCUGAUUUUCUACCAGCCUAACCUUUUGUACAGACAGUAUCAGCUCUCUUAGGAGUCAGAUUAGCGUGCUGCAAAAAGCACUGGACUAAAAUGUUAUUAAAGAAUCCAGCAAGUCUGAGAGACUUUUGUGCUGAAUCGUUGCAUUCACAAAUUCUCAUUCACUUGAAAAGUUUCUAUGAAAGUCUGUUUACAGCGGUAAUUAAAGUAUUGUGAAUUCAAAACGUGUCCUACCAGACAGGCUCAGUCAGCUUUCACUGAAGUAAGUCAGCACAGACAACUGUGCACUUCUUGCAUCCAGCAGCUUAAUUAGAGCAUGUUCUGGGUGGGAAGAAUUAUUGUACCCUACUAUAUCUAUGUACCAAUAUUCUUAGAACUCUACGGCAGACUCGCUAUGUCCCAAUUAAUCAUCCACAUUUUAUUUAAGUGUGUGUGGCCUUUUUGUUUGUUUUGAUGAAGGUGCUUUCUCUGUGCACUGUUGAUGCUGCAAGGCAUGGAAGUUAAGAAAUGUUUAUAUUAGCAUCUCCACAGCACCAUGAAAGACUGUAGAAAAUGUACAUUUUACAGCAUAACUGGUAUACAAAAGUGAUGCAUGUGCAGUAUGUGGGCAAGGAAAUAUUUGAACGUCAGUAGGAGAAGUUAAGCUUUGAGAUUUCUUAUGUUUUGUGUGUUUAAGUACUUGACUUCGACAUUGCCUGAAUUCUGAAUUUUUUUCAGUUUGUUUUUCUUCCUUCCAUGCUUGCUUUUUUAUUUUACAGACUGAUUUUCUGACCACAAUAAAGCAGACAGAAUUAUUUGAUGUUGAGAACCUUGUUAAUUUUAUGGCCCGUUUUCACGUGGAGAUCAGCUUUUAUUUCCCCCCUCACUCUUUAUUCUUGAUUCAAUUGUCAGUAAGGUUUGCUGAGCAAAAACACUGGAUGUAUUAUGGGAAGAAAUCUAAUCAAUGCAGCACCAAGGGACAGUCCUUCAGAAGCCUCCCUGGUGGCUGUGAGCCAGACUAGAGGUUACUAUGAGGUUACUCUGUCUGACUUUUACCAAAAUACCAGCUACUUCUGAAAGGGCUGCCGGCAGCCUUGUGCAUGUGUAACAGAAGCCUCAUUAAUAUAAGCUCCCAAUAUAUAUACACCUGUUAUGCUAGCCCCCAGCGCAGAGCCUGUGUUUCCUAUUUUAAACACUUUGCAUGUCUGUCUACAUUCCCUUCUGUCUGCAGUUGCUCUAGUGCGGUGCUGCAGAGCAGCUCAUAUGCAGUACCUCCAGGGAAUGCAGGAGGCUAAAUAAAGUUGUGGCAGAUGUCAGGGGGCUUUGCCAAACGCUAUUUUCCAAGUUAGAUAGUUUGAAAAAUUAACUGGCUAAUCCCAACUCUGUAAUACAGAAGUAACCUCAUUAGCGUGUAGCCUCAUUAAGUAUGCAUUUCUUUAACUGCUCCUUUAUCGGGUUUUGAUGAAGGAAAUUGCGCUGACAAACAUGUGGGAAAUCUUUAUUUGACUGGCAAAAUUCUGCUCCCAUCCUUGUCCCCAGGCCCCAGUGCUCUGUUCUGUGUGUGGAGUGUGACUCUUACAUUCUUUUAAGCAGUGCAGCAGUUCCUUAGGGCUGUUACCUGUUUUGGCUCUGAGUUCUAAGAAAUCACUUGACAGCAAAAUUACUCUAAGCUGAACUUUUCCUCUUUUAUAAAAUAUUUGUUCAGCACAUUCCAGAACAGGGGUUUCACUCAAGAAGUUACACAUAUUCUUUGUUAAAGACAGAAAGAAAGAAAGAAAAAAGGAUCAAAGCAGUAUCAGAUACAACUACUGAUUCAGCACAGGAACAAAAUCUUAGCAAACCCACCGAGCCGUGUUCUUUUCGGCUUGGUUUUCAUGACCAGUGCAUGGAGAAGCAUUCACAUCAGUACCUCUGACAGGCACUUGCCAUGUUUGGCAUAAAGGAGCAGUAAGUUUGCUUCACGUAGCUCUCAACAAAGGCCUAGUGGUCCCCCAGGCAGGGCCGGAGAUGCCACAAGGGGUGGUACUCUGGUGCUGUCACUCCAAAGCCACAAGAUACUGCUGGCCAUACUCAGGUUGGUCACAAGGACAUCCUCCUGGUGGUGGUUUGGCUCCUUUGUGUGGGGCCACGUUUCUGUAAGAAGACACAUCUGCCAUUACAGGUUUCAUGGUUCUAUUUACAGGGUGCGCUUGAUGUCUGCACUUAAUUUUUGUUUCCAAAGCCUCUUCCAUGCAAAAUUUCAGUGAGAUAUGAAUCCUAGAACUAGGAGGUAUCUAUGGCUAACAAUUUCUGCUGUGAAAUGUUCUCCACAGUGAACUGGAGAGGCACUGCAGGAUCUGGAUUAACUCUACUUCAGUUCUAGCACUUCUCCAUAUGCAGUGAUGGUCUUCUUGCUUGUAUUCUGUUGCAGCAUGUGGCUGUAAAUUAUUACAACCUAGCAAUUUUGAUAGGCAUUUUUAUUAAGCACAACUUGAGAGCACAGUGUUCUCAGUUAAAAAUUCUAAGAACUUAAGAAUUAGCAGCCUGGUUUAGACCAAAAGCCAGUCUGGCAGUCUAGGUCAGCACUUUCCUAAAAUGGGAUCAGUGGUGCCAUAUCAUGGAGAUCCUACCUGAGCACUGCCCACUGCAUUUUAGUAGGGUUUGUUUUUAGUAGGUUUUGGUUCAAGGACCAUUUUGAGCAUAAGCAACUAUUUGUUCAGAAUCCUACCUUAAGAUUACAAGUAUUAGUAAAACAUUUUAGGGCAAUUAAACUCCAGUCUGGUCAUGACAGUAGAAGUAGCAUCCCUGUAAUUCAUAAUACUGACACAUACUUCCUGUUGUGAUUAGGUUUUAAUUGUAUGUCUCAGUGAACUAAUGCUUUAUUUCUUGUGAAACAGGAACGAGUAUUGUGAUUGUUUUACUUGAGUGCUAUUAAUUGGGUAAGUUCAGGAACUUCUUUUCAUUAUUUGAAGCGAGAGUUUUUCCAUGGAAAUGCAGUCAAUAGAAAUGUGACCGAAAAUUUCAUGUGAUAUAUUAGAUUAUUGAAACCUAGGUGCUAUAGCCUAUGUCAGCAUUGUGAGUAUAUUUCUGAAAGAUAGUAUUUCCCUAAAGAGAUCUACUCAGAGGAGUACUUCUAAUUCUUUGUACACUUGUAUCAGAUCUCAGCAUUUUCUAAUUAUGAAUAUCUAAUAUUUUCAGGAAUCAGAUAGCACGCAUAGGGAACUUUGAAUAUGGGAAAAAGAUAAGACUGUAGUCUGACCAGUACAGGUGGAAGAACCUGUGGAAGUUGUGAAAAUGCAGUAGCCUACUUAGGGCUUCCUUGAAUUGCUGCUAACUAAUGUUCUGCUACGUGAAAGAAGUAAUUCAAGUGAAAGUGGAACAGUGGUGUUCUGAUUUCUAAAAGCCAGCUGAGAGAUAAUUUAAAUUGAAACGUACUGCUCUUGGUGGUAAAUCCUCCAAAAAAUGCUUGCAAUCUACACUUUAAGGGGUUGAGAAGAAAUAGCAAUAAGGUUUUGGUCCAUCCUGUGGUCUGUGUUCAUUUGUUUAAUCAAAUAGAAGGAUAGCAAGCUUCCUCUCUGUGAAGUAUGCAGUGUUGUACAGUGAAUUCUAUCUUUACUGCUUCGGUGUACAGUAUCUGUUAGCUAUACAGCAUAUUUGGUGUUUUGCAUUGCACUGCUAUCAUUAUUAGUAGAAAUAACAUAAAUAAAACCAUGAACUAAAAAGGAGAAGCGGAGUGUUGUUCUGCUAGCAUACCUACAUGUUUCUUUCUGUUGAAAUGGACUAGUUGUGCUCCCAAACCAGAGAAUUUUCUUCUUCUGUUUUAAAAUACAUACAUUCCUAAAGCAGACUUUUAAAAGAAAUAUCACAUUAGGAUCAAGGAAAUAAGUUUAUUUUGAAGCCUCUGUACUCUCCAUGGUGUUUACAGUAAUCCAGUGGUGGUUGUGUGCUUCAGAUUUGUACUUUUCUGGAUUCCUAUUCUGAGUGUAGGAUUGCUAUUCCAGGGUGUUGUGAACAAACCAGCCAUCUUUCAUUUGCUAAUUCACUACAUUAAAUGGCCACCAUCAGGUUUCAUUUGUGUGUUAUAUUGAAUAUGCAUGAUAUUUUAUUCUUCCUCUUUGCUGUACAUCUUGUUGCAUACAUUAGGAAUUAGUAAGGAAAUACAGACUAACCUUGCAAGUAAAAAAAAAAAAACCAAAAAACUGUUUUUUACAUCAUAGUUGUUAAAUUAGCAGUAUUUCAGAUUGUACAAAACCUCUCCCACUCAACACUUUAGUGUUUUUUUUUCCUUUUUAAAAGCUACUAGUAGAAGUCCAUUUUUGUGACCGCGUUGAUAAGUUGCCCCAGACAUUUUCAAAAUAUGGAUUUAAACACAUAACAAGAAAGUAAAAACAAAAAGCCAGGAAACUUCUAAGUUUGUGCACAGCAGGGAAGCCAGAAGCUCAAAAAUGUUAAAAAGGAUGGCUUAUCCCAAUGACCUUCAAAUGAUGUUUAGUAAUACCCCAAUUCAAAACAACAUGUAGACGUGUUUAAUUUGAAUUGCAUAUUUAAGUAAGACUUUGAAGGGUUUGAAGCAUAGGCAUAAUGCUUUAUCAGAAAAGAGACAGAAGUUUAACGUUUCUUGUAGUACAUUCUCAUGCUUCAGCAAGAAGAAUACCUAGCAACUGCUUCUCUUCUAUUAUGAAUGUAAGAGUGAGGGGGUUUCUCAUUAACUCUCUGGAGAAGGAAUUUAAGACCCAAUAAUAAAAAUAGUGGCAUGACUGAAGUUCUUCGUGUCUAAACAUCUGCAGGAUUGUAGCCUACUGUAACAGUCUGAAACAGCCUGAAAACCAUGUCUAUGAAAUCUCAGUAUGGUACUGUAUCAACACGUAUUUUUCAUACAGCGUUAAGGCAGUCAAGUUUGAAGAGUUUCUUUAUCAGCAGUAUUUCUGUCGCAUCUUGUCUGGGCUUUUUUCUGCUGGUGGGAUCCCAUUUGCCACAUUUCUGAGUGAAGCUAAGGAUUAUUUUCAUGUACGUUUUGUAUAGUACCUGUAUUCUGUUUUAAGGAAAAAUAUACACAUGCGUUUUUCUUCUUUCAGCUGUGCAGAAUGGCAUACAGAUGUACUAGCACAUUCCAGAGUAAGUUAAAUAGAGAACAAAGUAUUAUGUCACUGGAUGAGUAGAAGAGGAGCUGAUCUCUGACCACAAAAGAAAAAUAAAGCAUUGCUAAGAUCGUGGCUUUGAGAAAAAUAAGCCUGACUAUUUUAGUAUUUAGGUGGAUUAUGGAAGCAACAGUAAAAGAGAGAAAACUCUUAGCAAAGAAAAAUGUGGGAAUGGUUUAAGGGUAAACUGUGGCAUGAGAGAGCAAUAAUGAAGCAGGUUGAAAAAAAUUGAAAAUUAGUUUGGUACAUAAUGCAAAACAAACAAAAAUUAGUUUAUAGAAAUGUAACAUUAACGCAGUUGAUAUAUUCACUGAAAGAAAAGGGUUGGAAUGAACAGUGAUAAGCAUUAGUGUCUCUUAUUGGAGAAAGCUAGUAUUUCAAGGAGAUUUGCUGGCUUCUAUAUAUACAAAUACUAAGGACAUUUGGAAAAGAGUAACCUUUCAUCAAAAAAGCAGCAGAAUUAGCUGGAGAAAACAGAAAUCAGUAAUAAUAGAGUGAGAAUGAAUAAAUGAAUAGAUUGAUGAAUAGGCAGAGAACAUCACUUCUUUGGGAUGACCUAGAAUAACUUAUCCAGUGUCAUGUCACAUUCCUAAAAUGAUCACAAUGCAAGAAAACAAAAAUUGUUAUUUCAUCACGCUGUAUAUAUUUUUGCGUGCAAAUAAUGGUGUCUGUAUUGAAGUCUGAUUACCAUCCAUUUGUAAAGGUAUUAAUGAUACGCACGUACUAUCAAAAAAAUAUUAGUAUCACUGGCUGCAGAGACUAAGCUGCUGACUGCUACAUGUUAUGAAUAAUUUAGACUGGAUGUAUUGAUAUCUUUUCCUGAUUGAUUAGUCAAAGCACAGUUAACGUUUCAGUUGCCACUAGUCAUACAAAUUUUAAAGGACUGCAUGCAGUUCCAAUAUUAAGGAGUAAAGGUUAAAAAAUUUUAUCUGGUAAGUACUUUAAAAUUGUUUAACUGUGAAAGCGGAGGAGAUUUUUUUUGCUUGAAGCUUUCAAGGUUAGUAGCAACUAAAUGGAAUAGUCUCCGUAAUUUUAAGUCAUAGUGUUUCCCUGAGGGUAACGUCAACCCCUACAGAGUGCCAUUAAUGCCCCACUUACCUUUGAUCAAGGCUUUGAAAAUAUGUUUAAAGUGGGAUACUACCCAUGUACUGAAGCAAACUCCUUGCAAAUAGAACUCUUUGAAAGAACUGCAUUUUGUGUCUGUACGUUCAUUUCUCACUUUCUUCCCUCAUAAAGAUAACUGUAUGGGAACUGUUGAAUCACGGCCUGAACCUCUGAUUGACCACCUGAGGCAAGCGCUGAGUCAGCUGCAGGGGCACAGGUGAACACAACUUCACCUGAGUGACCGGAGGGGGUGGAGCCAGGCUCAUUUAAGACCCCAUUUAAGGGCUGACUCCCAAGGAAGAAGGAUCUCUACCUAGAGAUCCUUCAUCUUGGAGCCUUUCCCUGAGCCCAGGACAUGGGAAAGGUCUUUAUUUCAUUUCAACUUUGUAACACAAUAAUCUCUCUGGUCUAAUACUCAUAUGUCUGUUUGCCAUAGAGAUAACAGAAAUGUUUUACAACUUUUUUCUUCUUUUCUUUUUGAAACAGAGAAAUGACCUAGGGGGAGCCAAGUUACAAGAUGAACUCUAACCAAGUUAGAAGAGGAAAUAAGUGAAGAUUGGUCAUGUAUGCAAAGAAAAUGACAAGGUAUCUAAGGCAAUCACAAUUCAGAUUAAUUUCUUGCUGGUGUAGAGGUCUUCAUGGUACAUUAAUUCUGGCAAUAAACUUUAAAAAUAGUCCUUGGAAAAGAUGUUUUGAAAAGAACUUUUUUCUACUGUUUCAUUGCCAGAGUAAGUAUAUGUCUUUAUAAGUGUCUUGAAGAUACAUCUUUGAAGUCAUCAUUGUGUUGAAUUGUAGCUGUAUUUCUAGAAGUAAAUGAUGAUCACAUUCGUGAGCUGUGUUUUUGGCAGAAGUGAGUAAAAAAACACUGCUUCUCCCAACAUCAAAAUAAAAUCUUGCUAGACACUGUCAAUUUCCGAGGCUUUAAAGUAAUCAUUUCAUGAAUUCAUUUAAAUCACUGCACUUGAACGCUCAGUGCACAAGUUAAACCAUUUUCUCUUUUCUUUGUCAUGUAUAACCAUUACAAAUAAAUGUGCUAGUACUUGUUUUGCUCUGUAUUUAAAGGAUGUGUUCUCUUAAGUUUGUUGUUCUGCAGAUUUGUAACUUGAGGAAUGUAAAAUCAGUACUACUGACAACUCAUAUCCCUCAAAUACUCUCAAUAACGUGCAUUUGUAAUAUUUACACAGUGGCUGCUAACAGGCUGACACAAGGCUAUAUACCACUUAAGAUCUGAGGUUAAAUGGUUCUUCAGUGAUGCAUAAAAUUUGUAUUGAUCAUCUGCCCGGCACUGAAUUGAACCUAUUAAUGGAUAAGCCUUACAGUAUCACUAUGAGAAAGGGAAUUAUGAUCUCAAUUUAAAAAGUGGUAAAACAGAGCCCCAAGGGCUCAAGUAAUCAUUUCAAGUCGUACAGGAAGUAUAUAGCAGAGCUCUCAAUCUAAGCCAGCUCACCUGACCAACCAUCCUUGUGUUUGUUGUCCUUUUCAUCAUAUUCUGUCAGGUGUGGAAUGUGUAUGUCAACAGCUAUGCAUUCCUUAUGCACUGCUUUAACAGUCAAGUUCUCUUGCAAAGUAACUUAAAACACACAGGGAAUGUGAAUUGUGAAUCUCUCUUGUCCAUAAAGAACACGACACGAUGCAAAAGGGCCAGCAUAAACAACAUAAGUUGGAUUUUAAUAAGUUAAAAACAAAAUGUACAGGAAGACCUGUUGUUGUUAUGACCUCUCUAUUUUUUCUCUUUUUAAUUCUUUUCCCUUUUCUUUGCAUGGUGUUCUAGAUCUUUCUGUGGUACAGAGAGGAACUGCUUGUAUAGAACAAUUAAUGCUUUUGCUUUUGUAAUCUUGCUGAAUGUCUAUUUGAUUUCUUUAGCAAAUGUCAGGUCACAUGUUGGCUGAUUGCGUUCUGAAACUGAAGUAUAAAUCAUCUUCUCAAGUGACUAACUGUCAUUUUUCUUUGCAAAAUAUUUUUCUAUCUCUACCUUAUGUAACUCUUACAGUUGCUGACAUUUUCCUAAAAGCCCUGUUCAUUUGACACUCAAGAUUUCAGUAUAAAACUAUAGAUGAGAAUAGAUAACUCUUUUGCCUUCGCUUAGUACCUGUUUCCUUUACCAUUAGUUGAAGAAAGGAGUAUUAUGCAUUUCUGAGUCAUACUGUAUAAAGGUACUUUAUUUUAUACAUCAUUAGAAUUUUAAAAGAAGAAGGAAAAGCUGUACCAUAGGUGAAAGCAAGAGUUAACAUGCUUGAACUGUAGAAAAUGGCUAUUAAAUUUUGAUGGAUGCUAUCACUGAUAGAUCAAAUAAAUGUUGAUGUAGUGAUGUAGAGGGUAUGGAUAAAAAGAUGAGUGCUACAGAAAUGGUUGUUAGUAUUAAUGGAAAACAUAUAUAAUCCUCAGCCAAAGACAUGGAUCUACCCAGAAGAAAAGAACAGAGUAUGGACUUCUUAUAUGCCUUGAGUUCUGUCUAUAAGAGUGCAGCCCUAUAUAGCUGUGUCUUGUCACAGAUUAAGAUUGCAUAUACUUGGCCAUGCCUUAUGUUUUAUUGUGCCCGAUUCCUGCUGGCUUAGAGAUGAUAUUCUAGUAUUAAUAAUCUGCUUUACGUAUUUAUAUGUUGGUAGAAAGCUGUUAAUGAGUAUUCCUAACAGAUCUUUUUAAUCAAGCAUAAAAUGUAAGAAUUUCCUAGGAAAAAAUGGCUGCAUAACAUGGAAACAGUUGGUAUUAAAUUCCUGUUGGUGUGGCCUUUGACUCGCAGCUUCUGCUGAGUCCAGCUGAGAGAUAAAUGAGAUAAUUUUGCUGGUGUUUCAGGUCAGCACUUAUGCCAAUCUCACCAUCAUGGACAGUGAAUUCAAAUGUUUCUGAACAGCUCUGGAAAAACACAUUCAAGAAAAACUGUGUUCCAUCUGACAGAAUGCUACUUUUAAGCACUUAGGGUGAUCUGGAAUGCCAGGACUUUGGUCCUGAGAAUUGGUCCGCUAUUCCUAAAGCAUCCAAGCUCAAAUCUUUUAGUUAAAAGUCUCUAGAUUGUUUAAAAUUUAUGGGUAGAUGCAGGGAAUUUUAAGACUCCUGAAGGAGUCUGUAGGGGUAGGUUUAAAAUGUCCAUAUAAAUACAGUCUUAAUCUCUAAAAAAACAAUCUGAAUUGAUUGAGUACUGAUGUAAAUGUAAUGUAAAAGAGGAUUGCUGUGCUUAGAAAGGGAAGUCAGAUCUUUAUCUAAAUAUCUCUGCUUUAUAAUAAGAUACAGUAUGAUAACAUGCGCAGUGAACAGUUGAAAUCAGCACAGACACAUCUGAGAAGGGACACUUUAGUCACGUAAAGAAAGGUGUGAAAAGUACCUUCCUCGAAAGCCAGACUCCCUGCAGUUUAGAGCAGCCUAUUUUAUUGACAUGUGUGACAUCUGAUCAUGUUUUGGGGGUUUGUAGAAUUACUGUACCCUUCUUAUCAAAGGCAGAUGGGGACCCAAUCCUACAAGAAACAGAUUCCAUCUAUCCAUUUACAUACCAGUCUGACCUUACCACUGAAGAUUCUUAAAGCUAGUUCAUGGACAUCAUAAAUUUGUACUCCUCAGUUCAUAAAGGUAGGGACAUAAUAUUUUACAGGUGUGGAAGUGAAACAUAGAUGUGAAUAUUUUAAGACAUAUAGCCUUGACAAUGAUACUUAAAAUCAUUCAUCAUGGAUGAGCUCAGGGAAAUAAGCAGGAUUGUAGUUUGUUUGCCUUUGAAAGUCUGACUAGUUACUAUAGCACCUGAAGAAACCAAGUGAACUGAACUUAUUUUUCUGAGAAUACUUGUACAAGAGGACAAAGAAAAUCUUGAAAAUCUGUUGUACGCUCGUGAAAUGAAUCCAACUCUCUGAAAUUUCUGAAUAUCUGAAGAACUUUUCUGUGUUCCACCUUACUCUUCUCUGAUUUGAAAACAUCUUUUUUGAGUUCUUGGAAAACUGUGCAUUUCUACUGUGUGCUGUUCUCAUUAAAUCUAUCUUUCUCUUGCUACAAGCUCUGAUGGAGGGGGACUUCCAACAGUACUCUCUCAUAGGUCCCCCACUGUAUAUUAGACAACACUGGGUCAUGAACACUAAAGUCUCCAAAGGCCUACUGGAUGAUCCCCUUUUAAGAUCUCUGGUGGUACAAGUUGUCCCAGAUUAGAAGCUAUUUGCAGGCUUCGGGAAUGUGUAAGAGUAAGUCUCCCCAGUUACAUAUCUCAGGAGAUCUGCAAAGAAAAAGAGGAUGAUUAAAGUUUAUGGCUUGCAAAAGAAGGAAAUCAAGGGGAUUAUUUCUCGGUGUUCUUUUUAUGAGAUUUUUUUUUUUAAAGGAAAAAUAUUUUGACUGACAGGCCUUUGAACAUGCUGUGAGUUCUGUAUUUGCAGUAAGGCCUGGAGGAACAAGCUUUUAUUUUCUACUAGAAGACUGCAGUCUUUAGCACUCUCAGUAUUAAGAUCAUUGCAGGCAGGCAUCCCUACUGAUAUUACUAAAAGGAACUUUAAUCAAUCUUGAAAAAAGACUUCAAUAACCUGAAUUAUGGCCACUAGUGCUAGACCUUUGAUAGGAGAAUGGGUCUAGCAGUAUUGAUUUUCUCACUCUUAGCAUUUCUUCUGAUAUUUUUGCCACCUACUAGUAAUGUGUAUUUUAAUAAAACUUUAUGAACUGCCUUUUCCCAGCAAUCUUUCUGUUUUUAAGUGGAAAAUUUUUUACAUCAUUUGCAUGCUUUUUUUUCAUUUUGAAACAAAUACAAUUUUUGUGGAAGACUGCGGAUUCCAAAACCAAUCUAAAAAUAGCAACUUCCCUCUCUAAUUAUGACACAGCCCUUUGUCAGUACUACCAGAUGGGGAAGAUGAGCCAGAAAAUAGUAUGAAUAGUCACCAGUUGUCUUCUUUCAUUUCUCUUUUUCUGUGAGAAAGCAAGAUCUUUUGCAUUUUCUUGACAUUUUAAGUGCUAGACUUUAUGUUUAGAAAAACUUAGAGCUGGUUUUGACAAAACAGCCUCGAGAGGUUUAGAGAAUUCAGAGCCUUCCAGGGACAUCAGCAGAAUUGAGAGAACUGAUAGAAAGGACCUAUGGGCUAGGAAAUCUGAUGGGGUGCACACAAGAGUGGUUUACUAUUUACAUGUAAAGAAAAAUAGGGAAAAAAAAAAAGCUGAAACUACUAAUCUUGAUAAUAUUUUUCUAGAUUACAGCAAAGCUCAUAGGUGUUAUCUUGCAUAUGGCCUGUGGCCUUUUGACCUUCUGAAAGAUGGCCUUGUGGUUUCAUAGGUUAGCUCUCCAUGAUUAAGUUGUUACUGAGGAGACCGCUAACACUUCUCCACAGCACUGUUGCUGUACCUUUAUAAAGACUGCUAAAUGAUGUGGUACGUACCACAGAGACCACUGUCCAGAGGAAAGUGCUGUCAGAGAGUGAGAGAGGGUUAACCACAAAAUAUUUACAAUUUUAGCGUGCACUGAAAAAAAAUAUAUAGCUGAAAACAGUAUUUUCCUUUUGCUCUCUUUGUGCAUUGUGGUUUUAGAUUGGCUGCAAAAAUGUUUCUGUAUAGUGUGGAUUGUCUACAGCAGAUGGCAAACAAUGAUUAACCAUUUCCUUCCAACUGCUCUUUAAUGGGCAGAAACCAAGGUGAACCAGUUACUCGUAUUAAAAUAAGCUGAAAAAAAUCAUGUAGUUAUGAGUGUAAAUGUUCUCAUCUAAUAUAAACUUUCCAAGAAUAGUGCAGUUGGGGCUGGAUGUCUUCUUUCAAGCUUAUUUCCAGUGGCAGAGGAUGUAAAGAACUAAAUGAUAGUAAAGUAUAAUUAUAGUUUUUAAUUUACUUUUAAAUUAUUCCAUUUUUAAGUGAAAUACUGAUUUACACAAGUGCUGGACCUCUGAACUACUUGGAUUUGCUACUGUAUCUUAACCAAAAGUAAGUUUCUUGUAUGCUGCUGAUGAGACUUAAUAUGUUUUCAUAAAAUAAAGCUUCUGUAAGAUUAGAGUGGAAGUACUGCUCUAGCAUUAAGAGCUAGGGUAAUAGGAUGCACAUCUGCUAUAUAUUCACAUUUCUAAGCUGUUCUACUUUUCGUACAUUAAGGCCAAAGGAGGCUUAGGAUAGAUGCUUGCUUUCUUUUAAUUUGAAAGCACAAAAAAAACCCCAAUACCUUCUUAAUAUUGUUAAUUUAAGAAGUAGUGUCAUCAGUGAGAUGAUAGUGAUACAGGCUGGGAGCCAGCUGUGUAGGAAUCAGUUCAGUAGAAACAGUGCUGGUAGUCCUGAUACUCAAGGUGAAUAUCAGGUAGCCAUAUGCCCUUCCAGCAGAACCAGCUUGCAUUCAGUGUUGCAUUGGCAAGACUAAAGGCAGCAGCUCUAGAGAAGGGGCCCUCUCCUUUUAGCACUUGUGAGACUCUAUUUGGAGUUCUGUGCCCAGUUCUAAGGUACAAGGUGGCAACCACCUUGCUAGCACAAGUCCAGUGGAAGGCGCCAGUACGUGGCUGGAGUACAUGGUGAACAAGGAGAGACUGAAAGAGCUGGGUCUGUACAGCUGGAGAAAGAAAGGCAGAAGAGCAACCCUACUGCUAUCUACAGCUACCUUAUUGAUGUUAGGGUAAAGAAAAGAUGGAGCCAGGCUCUUCUCGAAGGUGCCACAGAAACAGAAUGAGGGCAAACAGACACAAGCUGGAAAAUGAAAAGUUCCAGUCAGAUAUAAGGAAAAGCAUUUUACCAAAGUGUGUUGAAACACUGCAACAAAUGUCCACAUUGACUAUGAUAUCUCCAUCCCUAGAAGUAUCCAAGAUUCAUCUGGGUAUAGACGUUAGCAACUUGAUCUCAUUAGACCUGCUUUGAGGAGGAUUAGGUAUUUCCAGAGGCCUUCCGAGCUCCAUUAUUCUAUGGUUAUUAGAUUCUGUGAUAAGUAGGACCAGUUUUUUUUUCUACAUGACUCUCUCUGAAGUGAACUCAUAGCUUCAUUGAAAUCAAAUAACAAGAUUCUUAUUGACUUCGUGAUACUCUUUUGUGUGAUUUGGAGGGUUCUUUGAAAUCAAAUAAUACUUUUCAUGUUAGGAGAACUUCAGAGAAAAGCUUUUGUUUUUUUUCUGAAAGUUUAUUUCACAACCAACAGAUUCCUUUAGCAUAUAUGGAUAAAGUUAUCUGUAUAGAAGAUAAAGAUUUUUUGCUCUAAAGGAGCAAAAAAAAACCUGGUAUUUUUCUCUCAAAUUUGUACCUGUAUUCCUGUAAGCUCAAGUAUUUAAUUGACUGGCUUAAAAGUGGAGGGGAAAUUGGUGAUAGAAGAAGAGUGUCGUUCUCAUGAUCCCGAAAAUAGAAAGUAUUUCAAACCCUUGAAAUCUGUUGUCCAGCUUUGACAUUAACAAAGUAAAUCAUACAAAGAAAUAUUAUAUAAAAAGCCCAAAUCCUACUGUGAGCUUAAUUACAUUUACAUGUUUACAUUUUACAACUUCCUGUGACAAAGCGAAUAAAAUGCCGUAUGAACAGAUAGUGUAGUAUUGAAGCAAAUGUUCAUUUACUGUAUUUCUGAAGAGGGCAAAGAGUUAUUAAUGUUGCUUAGAUUGGCUUUUUUUAACUGCCACUUGUAAGUAGAGUGUAUAUAGCCUUUUUGUGCUAUGUUCAUAUGAUGAAAACAUCAAGGGCGUGUUUUCUCCUCUUACCCAACUCACUUAUUCUACUUUGUAAUUUUCCAUAUGCUGUUGACUACAGUAUUUUUAAUUGAGUGUGGUGCAUACAUGCAUGGAUAGUGAUAAAUCACACUGCAGACUAUGUGGCCCAUAAAAAUUUUAUGCAGCUAUGAGAAAAAGUUACUGUCAUUACAGGACCAUUUGGGAAACCAGAGUACUUGUUUCAGCAGUCUGGGUUUGAUCUUUUAAUGCUAUCAGUGUUUUGGAUGAGUGCAGAUGCAUACAUGAUGAAUUUAGAAUGUUCCAGGAAUACUAGAAAACGUCUAAAUACCUCCAGUGUUGAGGUUAAAUUCUCAGUUUGGAAAUUCUUCUACCCAAAUCUUCAUAGCAUACCUUUCCAUAAGAAGAGUCUGGAUCUAAGAAACAUCUAUCGCUAUGUUAAUUCUUAUGCACAAAGUUCCAAUGUUCACCAUUUGUUGUGAUUUCAUAGCAAUAUUAAUAAAGUAUUGUUGUUUCUUAUCCCCCAACUCUUCAGAACUUGUUUUCUUUGCAGCAUUUUCCUUGUAGUCAGGAGGGAAUUUCACAUGCUUUUAGAAAAUCUGACAAAAUACAAAAUUCAUUAGCUGGAACACAAAAAAACGAGUGGCCUAAGAGCUGUGAUUCUGAGAACUGGAAAUAUUGAUUUUGUGAUUCAGGAAGAUUUUAUUUAAUGGGGCAUUUAAACGUUUGUAUGUGAAUCUGUUCCAUGACAUACACUGCAGUUAGCAACAGCUUUUGUGUAUCAUGUCUAAUAUACCCAUACACUUCUGACAGUAUGUAUAUUCAUGAGAUUCAUAACAUUUUCCUGCAUUUGUCCUCAUAACAGAUUUCAUUUCAAAGCAGCACUUCAUUGAUGUAGAACACUGACGCAUUGUACAUAUAAUUGUUUCUCAUCAGUAUGAUUAUUUUGUGACACCUAGUGGAUAUAUUAAUAGUUGUGCCAGUUCAAAUUUCCUUGGGUUGUUUGGGUUGUCUGAAUAUACAUUCUGGCCUGCAAACUGAAUUCACAUCUUAAACACAUCGAAUCUCGGUCUUUCUUUCUUACUUUCUCUAUUUUUCCUUUUUUUUUUUUUUUUAAUUUUUAUUUGACUUUGAUCCUGGAAUGGUUUGGUUGUAAUCAGCUGAACAAAUACUCAGCACCCAAGAGUCCUGAGGAAAUCCCAUUAGUCCUAAAACAAUACAAGGUAGUAAAAAUUUGGAAAUGUCAUGAUACUGUUAAGUCAGAGUCCCUACAUGUGCAGUGUGUGAUCUUCACCCAUCAGCUUUUUCUACUGCAUCAAUUUUUCUGUAUAGUAGAUCAAGUAUGAAGUUCCCUUUGGAGUUGAGCAUGCGUUACAUAAAAUUGUGAAAGGUUACAAAGAAGUACUCAGACUUUUCGCCCUAUGGGGGCUGUAACAAAUCCAAUUCCUUUACUGUUCAUAGAGAAUGAAAUGUGAUAAAUAAUUAAAAUAUUUUUCUAUAAACAUGAGAAUGUAUUUAGAAAAUUUAUAUCAAUAAAUGUAGUCUAGAAAUGCUUUAAACGCAUGACCCACUUUCGUGACUAAGAUAUAUCAUAUGAAGUAUAUCUUAAUUUACAUUCUGAGCCUGAAGCUUAUUUUGAAGUCAUUUGUCCUACAGGCAGAGUUGAAUUACUGUCUUGUGUAUAUACUGCAAAUGCUGGGAAAUAGGAAAGUCAGUAUUUUCAUAUGCCUGGUUUUUAUGUUCAUAAAGGGAGAGGAAGUAUGUUUUUUUGGACAGUGGCCUCAAGUCGGUUUGCUCUGUUGGUGAGUUGAUGCUGUUGGUGUGCACGUUUAUAACUUCAUAGAUGGUAUUCUUUACCCAGUAGGUCUUAAAUUCUAGCAUACCAGAGAAGAUGCAGGGCAAUAGCUCAUAUGAUAGCUAGGGUAUGAUUUUAGUAGUUCCUAACAAGGAUCUGAAAGGAGCUGUAAAGUGCAUUUAUUUAUAAAUAAGAGAUUGUGUAUUUUUUGUACUUGGGGAAUUUGAAUUGAGUUGUCCGGAAGACAUAAAUUAUCUUUGAAGACCAUCUUCAAAAUUUUAUGUUUUACCUUGUCUCUCUUCAGGGAGAAUUUCUUAUUUCCACUCCCAAAAGGCUUCAGAAUCAGAAAACGCAGUACUGAACUGUGUCUUUAAUACCAACUGAUAUGGCAUUCUUUUCCUGUACUCUUCAGAGUUGCUUAUCAUAACAUUUCUCUUGUGACUUUGGUUUAUGUAAAAUUAGAGCCUGUAGCAACAACAUCAUGAAUAAUGGACACAAAGUUUCUAACACAUCAUUGAACGCUGGCAAAGAUCUGCUUACUCUCUACCACCUGAAGCCAUGGUUCGAGUUCAUUAAUGAAUGUUUAACUAGUGAAAGCUUUAGUCUCAAGUAAAAAGACUUAGACUGGAGUAAAUCUAUUGAGAGCCUCAGUCACCUGAGAAAACAAAAGGUUGUGCGGAGGGAGCUGAAAGCAGGCAGUGCUGUGUGUCUGGCCACCCGAGCUCCUUGCCUGCAAUUCAUGAAGGGUGUUCAUUGUGCAAACGUGUGCCGUAUCAGUGUCACUGCCCCAGUCACCCCAAGGCACUCCAGAUGCCAUGCUCAGCUCCCUUGGCACGCACGUCUACAGCAGCUGCCCCCCUUGCACUUGACAUCAGCUUGCUAUGUUUGAAGUAUCCCUGCAGGUCAUGAUGCUAAGGGCCAGCACAGUCUGGGAUGCCUGGUUUGCAGACUCCACAGGAUUGCUGCCACAUACAAGUUAGGGUGCAACAGCCCUGGCAAUGAUCAGCAACUUUUGGUGGUUUCCCCCCUCUCUUUUUUAAGGCUUGUGUUAUGUGAACUUAUCUAGGUCUUGGACUGGGCUUUGUGUUGGAUGGCUAACGAGACCAGUAAUUUCGUUAACUUGCGCAGUGAGUGUAUGUAUAAGCCUUCUUUCCAUUGGCAGUAACAAUAACCAAUAACAGUAACGAAUCAGAGCAGAGACAAAAGAGUUGUGGCAAAACCACCUGUGUUUCUUUUUUGAAUCAUACCACAAUUUGAGACAAUGUUGGAGAAUAACAAAGCUAUUACUGUACAUAGAGGUCAUCUGCUGGUAGCCAAAGAAAAACACUAAUUGAAAGAUAAAAGGCAUCUUAAUCAUUAGCAGCAUUGUUACCAGUAAAUUCAUUGAGGUUGCCAGGAGUCGUAGAUGUGAGACGUAAGGCCCAGUUCAGGCUCCAAAAGGAAGGCUAAGGGAGGGGACAAAAGACAGAACAUGAGCCAGACACAGCUGUGUCAGAAGCUAUCACAUCUCCAGAAGUUGAGGCGUGCAUGCAGCCUUCAGCUGUGUGAGUGGGCAGGCUCAGCAGAGGCCUUUGCUUCCAUGUCCCUUAACAGGUGGAGUUCUCUCAUUGUCACCUGAUACGCCAUGGAAAGAUGAAGCCUCAUCGCUCUCUGUGCUUAGUAUCCCCUUCCAGUGUAUUUCGGCACUGAUGUCCCCACAGAAGUCUCCCAUGGGUGAAGGUGGUACGUUAAUGCAGCAUGCUUCACUGGUGGGAGCUUCUUGCUGCAGCCUCACAGUGUUAGUUUGGUCCCUUGUUGAAACAGUAGUAGUCCUUACACAGACUGUGCUGGCUUUGAAUUUAGAACUAUUUAGGAUUCUAAACAAUGAUGCGGAUUGAUUGCAGUCUGGCACAGUCAGUGUAAAUACUUCUGCUUUUGCAAGUGAACUUUUUGUUCAGGUGUGUAGCCUCCAGAAAGAAAAAUACAAGUAACCAGAAAUAACCAGCCCAGUGCAGUUACGGUUUGCAAGGACUGCACAAGGAUUUUCUCUGUCUUAAUGUAUGUAGAUUUCCAGGCUUCUGCUUCUUCACCAUCAGGAUGAACCAAGCUUAGCAGCUCAAGCCAAAUACAGCCCGAACCUCAGAACGUUGUUCUGAGGUGGAAUUUAUUUUUUUAAAGUGCUUGGCAGCAUUACUCAAAAUAACUGUUUGUGUUAUGGCCAAGAAUAUAGCAAGGUGGGUUGGAAGAUACUGGUCCUGGUUGUUCCUGCAGUUGGACUUGCUAUUUCCACGGGGAUCUGAGAAAGGUGUGAUUUUUGAAGAGCUGGGCAUCACUUACAAGUAAAAGAUAGGGUGUGUAGUUUAGGUGUUAUAUUUUAUGUUCAAAGAUAUUAAGCAAAUCCGAGUGACUUAAGCUGAGGAGACAGUUCUUCCAAAAAAAAAGAAAAUCCAAUAAUCAACAACCUAUAAUAAAAAUACUGUGGGGGAAGGGAGUCAUUGGUAUUUUGUUUUUCUAUCAUCUGUGUGCAUGUAGUCUGAGAUAGUGCAUGGAGAUGAAUUACGAAUGUUUAGGAAAUGCUUGCUGUUAAGGGAGGAGUUAUAUACACAUUUUGUUCUUUGCUAUCUCUGACAAGAGAAAAUAACACUGACACAUUUUCUUAGCUCUUAACAAGAAACAAUCCCUAAUUUGUCACAGCUUCACCUCCUCUUCCUGCAGAGACUCAUCUCCCUGAUAUCCAGCCCUUGCUUUUUUACCUUCAUGCUUGGUGAAAUGUGAAGAGUACCUGUAACAUUUGUUUUUCGUAAGACAUAUCUCACUUACUCCUGGUGGAUUUGCCCUUCCUACACAGGUUUUGUCUCCCGUGGAUGCUGGCUUCACCCCAUUUUUCCCAUUGGGAUCUGCCAAACUUCAUUUCUGCCCUUGAGAGCUAGGACGCACAGCCCAGGGUGAGAUGCUGCUGCUGCUCCCACAGCUGUCCGUGUCAAGCCUGGCAGCCAUCUUAGGCUGGACAGAAAGCCCACCAGGGCCAGCACAGCAAAUCAGCUGGUUAGGGGUACCCCCUGGGCUGAGGUAUGAUGGGAUAAUAACAACGGAAAGAGAAAGCUGGUGCUGUGAAUGGCCCUCUGAGAAAAUGUACGGAGAAGCUUCUGUCUGCUUUUUCACUUGCUGUCACUCACCUUACAACUGUUUCAGUGUGCACUAAAAUGAAGUUGAAACAUGCGUGUUUUCUCUUUUGGCAUCCCCAUAGUGAUUAUGCUAUGAGCAGUGGAAGAUCCCAUCGGUUGCUCUGAAAUGUGACCUACCUACUUUGAGCUCCUUGAACUCUGCCAAAUAUGUGCAGCUGGAAGAAAAGAAGUGGUUUGACUGUCCGCGAGCCAAAACACAUGGUGGUUAGUUUGUGCGGGUGAUGCCAAGUGGAGCUCACACCUUUUCCAUCUCAAGUGGAUUUUGGCUGUCUCUGACAGCUCUAACCAAUGGCUGGGGAGGAAUCUGCAGUCAGCUGGGCUGAGAGGCUUUGCCAUUAACAGGUUAACCAUAUCCUGCAUUUUCUGUACUUUUGAUGCUGAAGGAAAAUAAUUUAUGAUAGGCUUUCAUAGAGAAGUGGAGCAAAAGCUGUGCCUGACUUCCUCAAUAUGAUGGUGUGGCAAGAAAACUAAUGCUGAGAGACAUCCAGCAGUCCAAAUGUGCACCUGCUCCUGCUAGCUUCCAGAGCAAAUGCUGUCUCCAGUUCUCUGAUAUAUUGCACUGCAAGCUCUUCCUAAAGCACGGGAAGUCAGACCAGAUCAGGCCUUGGAUGCUCCUUGGAAAUUUCACUGGCCGAUCGUCCACAUCUGAAGUACCUUAUCUUUGGAGAUCUGGACUCUAAUGGGGCAUAAGACAGGAAUCAGAACUGAUGGCCAACAAGAAACUGUUCUACCACAUACAAUGCCUCAAUGUGUUGCCCUAGAAAGCUGAGGCUCAGGUCUUCUCCUGAGGUACAUGGUAUCCUCCAGAAUGGUAUUGAAGGAAUGGUGAGUGAUGUAAUAUUUGAGGAAGGGGAGAUGUGUGUCCUUCUGGAAUCCUCUUGUUCUCCACCUCUGUGUUUUCCAACCAAUUACUUAAUUCCUCAUACUGUGUCCUCACAGUAUGUGCUACAAAUGGUGACAUCAAAACCAAUAUAUAUUGCAAAUGCUAACAUUGCAGCAGGCUUUGCAGAAUAAUGGCUAUAUCAAUCCUUACUUAUAGUGUACUUUGAAUAUAGUGUCAUUAGUAACAGAACAUCUGCCAAAACCUCUCACAGUCUGAACAUGCUACCUCCUAUUUUUUUCAAUAUUAUGAUUGUAUUUCAUCAGAAGAUCCUAUGUAUUUGCUAAGUGGAGUUUCACUCAGUUCAGUCUUUGAUUGUUCAUGACGUGGAGAAGGUGAACAGGAAACAACUGUGUCCUGCCUCAUGUAGCAAGAGACCUAGGGAAUAGCAGGUUCAAAAUGCUCAAAAAGAGAUUUUUCUUCACAAGCUCUUAUGAUUAAGUGGUGGAGAUACUCCUUUCUGUUGAGUACACCAUGGUCCUCCCUGGCAAGGUCAACAGCAGCAGCUUAAAGAGCAGUGUGAGAGAGAGAUGUAUGUAAAUGGCUGCAGCAGGUGUAGCACUCCUGUCUCAGCUCAGGAUGGCUCCUCCAAGGGUUAGAGGCUAAUUUUGAGAAGAGGCUUGUUCAUUUUAAUAUGAAAGUUGUGAAAGGCUUUUUUCAUGGUAGGAGCUCUAUCUCAAAAGAGCUUCUUCAGGAAACUCUACGGCACUUGUGUUUGUUUAGGUGCUUUUCCUUUUGAUAUGGUUGUUUUGCAGUGGUGACUUGGCUGGAAAAGAGGGUUUUUGGAGGUGAACGUGGUGAGGAUAAAUCUCAAAGCUACCGCAAUUUGGGAGGCAUCCCUACUUUGUUUAGGAAAUAGACUUGCAACUAAAGGCCAUCUCGAGUUGACAGCAGACUUUGCGAGGGGUGAAAGUCCCUUGUACAGUGUGCUUCUGUACCUGUAAAAAAUCGGGUGCUUGAUUUACACAAGAGUCAUGAAGAUGUUCCUCUGGUUCUGUACUUUCCAUCAGGAGCCUCUUGUCCUUGCACUUGGUUUGUGCAGUCUAUUACAACAAUUCCAGUGGGACACAUAAUUCAGAUUCUGUAAUAGAAUGAAUGCACAAAGUCAUUGCUUAAACUGUACUGCAGCAGCACUUCUUGCUGCUGCUAUGUACAUUUAAUAACAAAAGGUCAAAAUACUGCAUCAACAUAGAAAGAGUCAUUUGAUCUCUUUAUCUGUAGAACAGGGAUAAUAUUCUUUGCUUAUGUUCCAAGACUUGCUGCAAAUUUGAGGACAGAAAAACUGAAGAUUUUCUUUAGUAUUGCUAAGAUAGAUUGUGAUGACUGUCAGAUACUGGUUAAACUGGAGGGGCUGAGCUUUUUAUUCCUGCUUUUGCUGUAUACCUGACAGUUGGAGGUGAAUGCAGCCUUUUGUUUCCUACACAACAAAAGGUUCAAAUAUAAACCAUGCUACUGAUAAAAUAAGAACAGAAAUUGCGGGUCAGUUCUAAACUUGGAAAAUGCUCAGGGGUUUUUUUGUUUUUUUGCUGGUAAAUCUACAUUCUCAUCAUGUGGAAAAAACCCAGACUCUUAAUACAGCUUUAGUUUUCUACUUUAUAGCUACAAGCAGAAAACAGCCAUGAAUCAAUAACGGGGGCCUGUAAACACUCUUCUGGCUCUAUAGCCUACUUAAUGUCAACCAAGAGCUGCAGUAAACCACAAUUCCCCAGCUGCAAUAAAUGCUACAGGCUCCAGAGCAGAGCACAAAGUUUAAUUAAAAGUAAUCUGAUACAUAUAAAUCCGCUGACGCAAUCUCUCACUCUUGCAUCUGAAAUAUAUAUAAGGCUCUUCCUGGAGACAUUGGAUGAUUUAGACUUCAAUUUCACUUAAGAAGCCUCUCACAUAAUACUAUCCAGUGAGUCUCUGUGCACACAGCAUAAAGACAUCCUGUUAACUAAAUGCAUUGAUCUCCCUUUGCUUUACAUGCCGAGUGUAUCAGCUGUUGAGUUAUUUGGCUAAUUUAAGAGACUUGGCAACAUUUUCCCGUGCUCUAAAUAGCCAGACAUCUCUGAACUUUCAGGAGUAACUACAUUUGGCAAUUAAUGGAUAAUGACAACACUGCUGUAAUGUAUUAUCUUUUGGCAAUAAGUAAGCUCAGCAGUUUUGAGGAUGUCUCACUAAUGCUUUAGCAUCAGACAGACUCUGCUCAUGUUAGCUGUGUUUGACAAGAUGUUCUGUUGAUGUUUAAUGAUACACAGCCCCUUGCUGAUUUGCGUCCUGAGUCUGUCCUGGCUCUGCACACAUCGUCCUUCUCUCCUCCCCGUGCACUGUGGCUGCCUUAUGGAAUCACAGUAAAGUCUGGGUCAGACAGCCUCUCUGGAGAUCACCCGGUCCAAACCACAGAAACAGAGACUUAGGUUAGGUCAUCCUGGAUACUGUCCAGCAAAGUCUAGGAUAUUUCCAGUGAGAAAAGUGCACACCUUUGUUAUCUGAGGAUGCAAAAGCGUUCGCACCUCAUGCUAUAGUCCUGGCACUGAUGGUGUCUCUGGACUAACAGUAUAUUCAUGCUAAUUUUUCUGAAACUAGAAAAGGCAGAGGAUGACAACUGCUAUGGGACCUGGGAACAACACUUAAGGCUUAGAUGGCUUUCCUUUCUCAACACUUUUUCCUCAGAAAAUAAAAGCAUCUAAAAAUAAAUAUUUGUUUUUAAAAUAAAUAAAUAUAUAUAUCUGAAGACACUAAUGAGUCCUGUCAUAAAGUGUAUUAAAGCAGUAUUCUAAAGGCAAAACAGCUUCUCACACAAAAUGACAUACACGUUUCUAAUUAGCUCCCAGAAAAUUGGGGUUCACUCAUGCGAGGGACCAAAUAACAUUACUUUGUAACUCUGAACAAAAAUUAAUCUCUUCCUCUCAUUUUUGUCCGUAGUGCUUUUUGUGGAUUUGUAUCCAUACAGAGUUUUCGCUGGCAUGCCAUCCGUUCGUGCAUUUCUAAACAAAAGCGAGACAUGGAGUCUUCAUGGCCAAAACUUUUCUUGCAUUCUUGCAUCUGUGGCCAAAAUGUAGCUAACUGGAUCCAUAGAGAUAGAUCUUGUAUUCAUGAUUGUUGUGAGAAACCUCCCAGAGCUUAUUGAAUUAGGGAUAUCCCAGUCAGCUAUUGUUAGACUUUAAGAGACGUUUUGCAGUUAGAGGAGGCUUUAAAUAAUAAUAAUAAUAAAAACAGAGUUUCUUUUUAUUAACUGAAGCUCUGUUUACAUCAGUAAGGAUACACAAAUCAAAGCAACGAAAUGUAUGGCCUGCAGUUAAAGGAUUUAGCUUCAAGAAAAGAAAAUGAAACAAACCAGAACAACAACAACAAACAUUGAACAGCAAUUAUUUAUCAAGAUAUAGGCCUUAAACCAAAUUUUGCUUUUUUCAUUGCAUUCAUGGCAGUUGUCUUGUUAUGAGUAGAGUGACGUGGAAGGUAAAGCCAAGGGAAAUGAGUUCAAACUGCAUCAUAAAGAAGUUCAAAUAUUCAAGGAACAGUAAUAUGUUUAAAACACACACACACAAAAGAGAAAGAAACCUGGGGGGAAAAAUUUCUACUUGCUUCUUCUUACAUUUUUUGCUUUUUGGAUUGAUCGAUAGAGUAAAUGUGGUAAAGGCACAAUGAUCUUUUACACAUUUAUUUCAAGUCUGUUGUUGUAACUAACUAGGAGUUCCUGAAGAGUAGAAUGAAGCCUGGAUAUACACUAAUGGAUUGGUAUUUGUAAUUCAUACCCUGAAAUGUAUCCAGCCUGGUGCUAAAACCAAACGUUUAGUAGGCUAAAAGUAAUACAAGCCAAGGUACAUUUGACAGCCAAUAAGAUGACGUUUGUCCAUUUUCUCCUAAAGGAGAGGAAAAUUGUGAACAUGGAAAAUAGAAGCAGGAGGAAGGAAGGACGUAGAGAGUGACUCAACAGGUCAUGAAAAUGUGAGGUUGCAUAUAUGCAACAUGAUCAAGUUGGAAAAAUAAUCUGUUGAGCCAGAAGGACAGCAAGAUGAACUAGUAGUGGAAGAAGUCUGCUAAGUCAGGAGGUAGAAAUCUGAUGCUGGAGGGAGUCUGAAGAUGAGUCUGAUCAAUCCAGUCUGAGUUUCUCAAAAUGUAAAUUAUUCCUGGCCAACAGGACACACUGAGGUGUCCCUGCUCCCUGCCUAUAACAGGGGGUUGGCACUAGGUCAUCUUAAAAGUCCCUUCCAACCCAAACCAUUCUAUGAUUCUAUGAUUCUGUGAACUGUAUGUACUGGCUUAAAAUAAUUCCACGUGAAACAGCCUCAAGACUGAAAAUUUGCCUAGAGCAGCAUUUGAACUCUCAAAUGUGUGAGGUUCAGCAAGCCAAGUGAGAGCCAGAAGGAUCUCCUGCAGUUCAAUAUUCAACAGAUGUUAAAGCUUUUGUGUUCCCCAUGUGCAAGGAGUCAUGGAAAAAAGAGUCAAGGGAGAAGAAAUUUUAGAAGCAUCGUUCCUGACUUGCAGGUGUAAAUGUCCACUGAACAUUGAAGUAAAUAGGGAAGAAAUGGCAAAGAGAGGAAUAAGAAAGAAACAUGGAAGCUGAAAAUGAUAGCGUUUCAGUACUGUUAAAGCUGUCAGUGUGUAUAUGAAGAUGAUAAAGAAAAGAAAUGUAAUACUGGUUUAAUAUAACACAUCAUAUUGAAAUAAAGAGAAUCCGAAGAGAGGCUGGCGGAAGGUCUGACAAGGUCAUAAGAGAGCUCUGAGGCAUCACAUGGGCAGAGACAUCAAAAACAUAAACUGGGGGCUUCACCUCCCAAACUCUGGGAAACCGUGUUUGUUUGCUAGUCUUAGAGCUGAGAUUCUGGGAUGUACACGCAAGGCUCCCUAGCAAAGACAGAAAGUGAGACACCUGAAAUUCUCUGAAAUUUUAAUGAAGCAAAUCAGUAGGAGUAACAGAAAUGAGAAAGAAAAGCACUGAUGCUCUAGUGCUCAUGACUUACAAACCCCCAAAAUGAACAUCUCAACGUCUUCCUUCCUUGCUUCAUAUAAAUUUUACGUAUUUUCCAAGUACAACAGUGCCUUCCUACAGAAUUUCUCAACUCUACUGCAAGUGUUACUGACGAAACAUAAAGCUGCUCUUUGAAAGAAGAAUUACUUUCCCUUUUGGCACUUUUGAAUAACUUCUCUUUCAACUUGGUGUUCUUUCCCCCCCAAGAUCUGGGUUACAGAGCUGCUUACUU